CUUGCUGUUUUCAUCUAUUUGAGAGUAAUACUGACUCAUUUCUUGCAACUUCUUUUCAUCCAUCACUUCAUUUGAUUCUGAAACAAAUUCUGGAACCACAGUCCUUCCUUCAAGCAUACUUACCACUGAAGACAUAGGCGGCCUAAGGUUUGAAGUGUCAUUGGUGCAUAGGAGACCCACAUUGAUCAUCACCAUGGCUUCCUUUUUGUUGAAAUCUGAACCUAAUCUUUUAUCAACUAUUUCCAGUAGGUCACCUCUCUCAUGCAAUAAUUGUGCCUGUUCAAAUAAAAAAACAGAAUAGUUUGAUUUGAAACCCAAGUCAUUUACAAUAGGUAGAUUCUUCAACUUCUGAAAAUUCUCUAAAGUGAGAAAUUGGUCGUAUUUAUAUUAAAUUUCUAAAAACCAAAUUGAUGUCACUGGUAUGUUGCUUGGAUGCUUCAUGAUAUUAAGAUUUUGGAAAUGGACAGGAUCUAUGAAAUGUUUUGUACAAUUACUCUUUGAGAGAUUACAAUUACAUCCUUUUCCGAUCCUCUUCAACAUCCUUCUAGUGAAGUGUAAAACUUCAACGAAAAAAGUUUCUACUAAUUAUAAAAAGGGAGGUUUGAUUUUAUUCUCUUCUAGAGUUAUUACAUGAAAACGAAUAACAAUAUAUGUGAGACACAUAAUGUAGUGUAUAUAGAUAGUACAAUGGAUGGUAAAUUUUAGAUAAACAAUGAAGAGCAUAAAAUUGUUACCCAUUCUAGAAGAUAGAAUGCUUCCUCCUUUGACCGAUACAUGGUGUUGCUCCUCCCACUAACAAUUUCCAAAGCAACAAUUCCGAAACUAUAAACAUCUGCUUUGUCUGUCAAUUUACCAUGCAUUGCAUAUUCGGGAGCCAUGUAUCCACUGUAUAAUUAAAACAUAUCAUUCAAACAACUUGAUACCAGUAUAAAACUUUAUAUUAAACUAUUGUAAAAAUAUGAUUUGAAUUGAAUUUGAUAACUUUUUGGAGUGAAUUUCAAUAAACUUGGAGAACACAAGAAUUACAGUUACUCACUAGGUGCCAACAAUUCUAGUGCUAAUGUGAGUAUUGUCCUCCUCAUCAAGCUUGGCCAAACCAAAAUCAGAUAUCUUUGGGUCAAGAUUUGUAUCAAGCAAAACAUUAGUAGCCUUGAUGUCCCUGUGAACAACCUUCAGUCUUGAUUCUUCAUGGAGGUAUGCCAAACCUUUAGCAAUACCAACACAGAUCUUCUGCCUUCUUGACCAAUCUAAUUUUAUUUGGUGUUCCUCUGGACCUAAUUUAUUUGUCAAUGUAAUAAAAAUCAGAGUUAUGUGUAAGUUAGAAAAUAUGGAAUAGCACAUAAAUAGGAACCAAAGUAGGGAUUUAGAUUGAUGGCAGUCGCUAAAAGCGUGCAGUCACUGCGGUCAAAGUACAUCAACUGUUUGAUCCAUCCAACCAUCAACAAGCUUUCACCUGGAAAAAACAUGAGCAACCCAUGUUCCAUUCUUUUACACAAUUUCCCUUUAUCACAUAUAUUUUCUAUUUACAAAUCCUAAGCAUAAUAAAGGUAUGAAACACUAAUAAAAAAAUACAAAAAGUUGUUUUUCCUAUCCAUCCAUAGGCGAACCUAAAGAUGGUUUGAACUUUGAAGUUGAUUUUUCAUAUUGGCAUCUCAGUAUGUUAUAGAAUCCAACAAAAGAAAUCAGUGCUACUUUAUUUGAUGAAUUUUUAAUUUAAGAUGAAUAUUAAUAUAUCAUCAGUGAUUCAAUGUUUCUAAAACGCCCUUAAGACGUAAGAGCUUACAAAGCCUUCAUUUUCAAUCUUAUUAUGUGGCUGUUUGUUGAAGGUUGGAUGAAUCAAACGAUUGAUAAGUUAUGACGGCACUCUUUUACCGACUGCAGUCAAUAUUGAAUCCCAAAGUAGACCAUAUAGGAAAAAUUACCAAAUAAAGCACGAGCAAGACUAUUGUUUUCCAAGUAUUCGUAUACCAGCAUCAACUGAUCUCCCUCCACACAACAACCGUGGAGUUUAACAAGAUAAGGAUGUUGCAAAGCAGAAAUCAUUCCUAUCUCAUUUAAAAACUCACGAUUCCCUUGCUUUGAUUUUGAAGAAAGUUGCUUCACUGCUAUCAAUGUCCCAUUGGGUAAACAUCCCUUCAUUUUGAGGAAUGGUAUGAUGUUAUAUGUUGAAAAGGAGUUUUAUGAAAAGUACAUGUAAAUUAUAAUAAAAGCAUGACACUCGAGCAUUUUUUAUAUUAUGCAAAAUACCUUGUACACAGGACCAAAUCCUCCUUCUCCAAUCUUAUUGGAAACAUCGAAGUUAUCUGUUGCUGCUUUUAUUUGUCGUAAGGUAAAAAUACCUGUCUGUACGUCCAAACUAUUUAGCUCUGUUAAAUGAAGUAAAUGAAAGAUUAAAGAUCUGUUAUACUAAGAAAAUUACACAUAGACACCCUGCAUCGACAAUUGAUUGGAUGUAAGCUUGCAACUUUCUUCUUAUCAUGAUAAUGAAUUAUUCUCGAGCCCCAUUACACGAUAUAAUGACAACAAAAGUAGUUUCUUUGUACUCACCUCUUGCUAAAGAAUUUUUCUUUCCAAAACAUCCUUUCCACCACAGUAUACCAAAUACAAGAAUGAUAAUAACUAUUGCUGCAACCACAAUUCCAACGACAGCUACAGUUGAUAUGCUUCCAGGUGGAGAGUCUGCUCGAUUGUUAUACAACACAUUUUAAUAUUAGAUAAUAACAUGGAGAUCAAAGCACAAGACUAGGAGCAAAUAAAACAUAACCCACCAGAUUCCACCGAUAUAGCUGAUAUAAGAGGACCAUAUACUGAUCUAUUUGGGAGAGACUGUGUCCCUUUUCCAGCCCAAUACAAACGGAUCUCCAAAGUAUUACUACUAACAACGAUAUCUUUGAACUGUUUUAUCACUUUCUUACCAACUCCUCCCGCUUCUUUUGCAAUAUUGAAAUCCUUUUGCACCGGAUUUCCCUGCAACAUUUCAAUAACAACCUUAAUACUUUGUGAUGUUUACAACCUACAAGUAUUUAUUCGUCUGUUUGUUUUAGAAAUAUUAUAGAAAUUGAUUUUAUAAAUAAUGCCAAACAAGUGAACUGUUGAUCAGAAAUUGAUAUUUUACGUAUUUUAAUUAAAAAAAGGUCUGACAAUGUCCCCGUAGGAACCCAGUGAUCACUUGACUAAUAGUCUUAAUUUCUUUUUUUUGAAACAUCGAGUGACUAUGGAAAUAAAAUUGUUAAAGCAUAUACCUGAAGGUAGAUAUCAAAUACACGCCUUCCAAGACUAGCAUACGUUUGAUCGUCAGUGAACAUUAUUUCGGCAAAAUGUAGAUUUACUGUGUAGCCUCCAUUUGCCAGGCAAAAGGCAUAAUAAGUCAAAGAAAUAGGAGAACCACGUGCAGUCAUGUACAAUUCAGUAUCUGCCAUAGUAAGUGUUGUGAUAUUUCGUGGGAAAUAAGUUUCUCCAAGUUGAUCACCAUCAAUGAAUAUACCGGUAGAGCUAAAUGCCCAAUUUCCUGUUGGGCUGACAUGGAAUUUAGCUGCUCCAGAAGAAUCGGAAUCAUCGUCAUAACUUCUUUUUUUGACUAUUGCAUGCUUUCCACCACAAUUUAUAUAAAGGGAGUACAAGGCUGGGUUGAGAAGAUCAUGUGAGAAACUUUGGAAAUAUUAAGGAAACUAAGAAAAUCAAAUAAAUAAAAAUAUAUUCAUUGAAAUUGUAUUUUUCUAUACUAAUUCUCUCUCUUUCUAACUAUCAUGUUUCUAUUAUGGUUAUAUAACUCUAGCUAGUCAAACAAAAGUCAUGAUUAAUUGCUACCGAUAUUUUUCAAACACAGCAUGAUUAUAGUUUACACAAAGUAAAUUUAGGGAACAAGAACACUACUAGCCAGUUAUCGUUUUUUACCAACAAAUUCCUGGCUGUGCUAAAAAAUCUACAAUAGCAUUCUUGUACUAUUGUAAAGUAAUUUUAGGCAACCUAGAAACUAAUGUAGCAAGAAAAGAUAUAAAUCCUAUUAGAACAUGAUUAAACAUGCAAACACAGUGAGAUCUUAGCUGUGUAUGAAAGUCACCAUGAAAAAACUCACAUUUUGGGCAAUCGCGCAAACACGAAACUGUUCCUCUGAAAGAAAUGGAAUAAAUUAGCAUGAUUCGUACAAUAAGAUUUAAACAUAAUAAGAGGGAAAUGGAAAGGGUAUAUAUACAUGUUUUAGUAUUUAUAAGACUAAACUUACAUGUCAUUGUGUGCCAAUGAGGGAGAAAACAAGUUCCUACGACAUAUUAGAAAUGGUGUUGUCACAAAAAGGUUGUUAAGUUUGCAAAAUUAAAUGCACAAAAAUGCAAGGAUUCUUACAGUUUAUCACUUUGACAUAUCUGAUUCCCUUGGCUGAUGCUUAAGUUAUUGUAUGAAAGAUCACUAUAUACAAGCCAUAAAAUUUGAUUCAGAAUAUGAUGAUGAUGAUACGAUCAGAGACUUAAUGAAACAUUUGGAGACUACGAAGAAACCUAAGAAGAUCAACAUCUUAAGUAAACAAAUGCACAAUGAUUAUAGACCUAGCACUAGAGUUAAUCAGCAGAACAAUAACAAAGGAUUAAACUUUAAUUUAGAAGAUAGCAGAAACAAAAACUUUAAUUUGGAAAUAAAUAAUUGAUGCUUGGUGGUCAUACGCUUAAAGCAAGCGAAACGAAAAGGCAAAGUCAACUUAUAGUAUUAUUGCAACAUAAAUGAAGUAUGUUGUUCAAUUGAAGGAAUCAUACUAGUAGUAGAAAAAUAACUUACACGUCAACGUUCUUUUUCCAAGCAGGCACCGAUCCAGUGAGAAGGUUUCCAGUUAAAAAUCUAUCAUAAAAGUAUAUCAAGAUAUUAAUAUGCAAAGCUUAAUAGUUAUUGAGGUGAACACAAUUGGAAAUAAGCUAAUCACAACCAAUUAUCUCUUCUUCCCUACGAAUGGUUGAAUUGAUUUAGGUCGAGGGAUCCUUCUAUACAGAAUUUUUUUCAAUUCAUAGACACCUACAAAGACAAUGAAAUAACAAAAAUCCUAAACUUUUCACUUUGACACUCUUUAUCACACACUUAAUCCUAAACUUGUCAUCUUCAUUCUCUUAGAUUUUUUCCUUUUCAGAUUGAAAAGGGCGUGUGAUCCUUUUGAGAGAAAAAAGUUGCUUCAAAAAGGUACAAAUACAUUUGCCUGAUCUUUUGAAACGAAAUCCUACUUUUGAAACUUAAAAGUAUUGGACACUUGGUCCGGACUACUUCAGCUCUAUUAGUAUUCCUCGUGAAUCUAAGUUGGAUUAUUCAGAUAUCCUACUUCAGACUGAAAGUGGAAACUAGAGCUGUUGGUGUAAAGUAGCCAACAGAUAUUUGAUUAAAAAUAUACGCUGAAUAAAAAAUUGUGAUAAGAAGCUACAAUGAAUUUCAUACAUGAAUUUCGCACCGUUAAUGUCAUCAAAGGUAUCCGGGAUUGUUCCACUUAUGUUAUUAAAGCUGAGGUCUCUGAAAGAUAUAUCAUAAUGAGAAUGAGUUAAGAAUCUACAAAAAAAAAAUUGUCAUAGAAAAAUAUACCUGAAACAAAAGAACAAAUUAUAAAAUACAAAAUGUAACAGGUAACUAAUUACAAGUGCUUUAAUGUUGGUAUAGUCCCAAGAUAUUUAGGUAGUGUUCCGUUGAUUUUGCAGUUCCUCAGAAUCCUGUGAAACAAUAAGAAAGACAACGAUAUAUUAUAGGUCUCUUGCUGUUUUUUUCUUUUCUAUUUCUCAAAGCAGAAGAUUCAACUCACAGAUUUUUUAACAAUGGCAUAUUAUCAAGUGGUGGCAAAGGUGAAUAUUCUAAUCCAUUCAAAUCACUAAUUCUCCUGAAUAUCAAAUUUAAAUCAAAGAUAAGUAAUCAUAACUAAAAUAAAAGUUAAAUUUCAGUCCUUACUUUAUCAGUAUAUAAAAUACGGCACAUACAAUUCAGAUAAGUUUCUCAAAAGUGAAAUUUCAGAAGGAAUUGGCCCGCUUAAUCCACUCCCUUGAAUGGUUCUGUCAAAAGUAAAGUAACCAUUGAUGAUUUUUGUAAAAUCAAGAAAUACAAAAACAGUUUAAAUUCAUGAAAAAUCAAAGAAAAAAAGGAGAGUGCAUACAGUGUACCGAUAUUUGUCCAGUUCUUAAUAAAAUCUGGUACCUUUCCAGAGAACUGGUUGUCCGAAAUUUCGCUGCAUUGAGAGGGCAUGUAAAUUUCUCAUAAGAAUUAUUUUAUAAUUUAUUCAUCACUUAAUAUCGUAAAACUUUGAAGCUUACAAAUCGCGCAAUGUAGUGAGCUUUGCCAAUGUGGCAGGUAGUUCUCCAGUAAAAUUAUUAGAGGACAUUUUCCUAUAUACACAAUUGAAAAACAAAACAGCAAAUUAUGAUUCUAAGCCAUAGAAAUCAAGCUGAACUUUAAACAGAAGGCUUUCAUAUUUUGAGGGAUAACAUCAAUUAAGUAAAAAUAAAGUACUUACAGUGUUCGAAUCUGGGUUAGAUUUCCAAGCUCACGAGGAAUGAUUCCAGACAUUUGAUUGGCCGUUAAAUCCCUAUCCAUUUAAAGUUAAAGUUAACUUCUACUUAAACUCUUUUAAUUGAACUCGUAUGAAAUAGAUUUUCUUUGCUAAGUGGGAUAAUCAGUAACUCACAACUGUAUCAGAGUAGAUAUAUUUGCAAUCUCCACUGGUAUUGAACCCGUUAAUCGAUUGCUGGGGAGACUACUGUGAUAAUUAAGAAACAUGCUGUCGUUAGCUCAUUUUUCAGGUAAUUACUACUAGUCCACAAAAACUGAAUUGAAGUCUUACAAAGAAUGUGAAAUAAGACUGAUCUGUUAAGAUCAUAAGAAAAAUUAAUGACCAAAAACCAGAAAAAGUAAAGUAAGAGACAAAUCAUACAUGUUACGGAUAUUCAUCAUGGAGCCCCAUUCUUUAGGAAUUGUACCGUUCAAGUAAUUGCGAGAGAAGUCACUGUAAUUGAGAGAGGGAGAGAAAGAGUGUGUCAUGCAAAAUAAUAUAUCAUACAUGUGAUUGUAAAAACAAAACAAGUUCAGUCACUGUUAAUUUAGAUUUGAGGAAAAGUUCAAGAACUACGUACAUAAUUUGAAGGUAUCGCAACCUGUUCAGUUCUGGUGGCAGAGUGCCGGGGAGAUUUUGCCCUUUCAAAGUUCUUUAUGUACAUUUUGCCAUAAAAAAGUUAAACAUAAACAAUUAGCAAAAUAAAGUAACUAAGUCUGAUUCUUAACAAUACAUUUAAGAGAAUUUUUUUUGUAAUAAGCUCCUCAACAACGGAGAGUUUUUAAACUGUUUUUACUAUUUGUGUAACAUCAUUUCAGUAAAAAUACAUGUCUGAGAAUAUUGAUUUCACUUUCAAAUCUUACUGACUGAAAGAGAUACCAACAUUAUUGAUGUAUAACUAUAAGUACCAGUUAAGUUUGUUACAUGGUAUUAACCGAUCUAACUCAUGCUUAUCAAUGAAGAUAAAUAUCAAAUCAGUUGCCAUAGUAGUACUUACAGAACAGAGUCAAUUCCGCGGAAAAUAGACUUACAUUUCAACAACAUGGCAGAAGUUGUCAGCAGAAAUACUGCAGUUGCAAGUGACAUUGUUCUCUACGAUAUUCAAUCUGGGACUGGGAUGCGCAGGCUUCGGUGUAGCCCAGUUAGGUUGGUUGCUACAUGGAUCAAUGUCGAAGUUCCAAUCAUUCUUACCAAGUGAUUUAGCUAUAACUUCAAGAGCUUUCUCUACAUAUACAUAUAGUAGAUAGAUAUCAUAUCAGCUAAGUACUGGAAAAUUACUUAUGUACACAGAAUUUAUAUAUGAGCAGACAAAUAUAUGAUAUUUGAGCUAACAUGAAUCCUUAGAUGAAAAAACUAGAAAAGAAAGAUCAGAUAAAAGAACUUUAUUUAUUAUUUGGGAGCUAUGGUGGAAAUAAAUAUCAUACUUUCAUCAGGGUGAAUAGUAGUAGCUCCAAAAGCUGUUAGAGAUAUGGACCAAAUGAGAAUGAAUGAAAGGAAGAAAAAUUGAGUGGAUCUAGCCAUCUUAUCUUAAAAUUAUUAUUAUUUUUAUGAUAAUAAUUUUAAGAUAAGAAUUUUAAUUAAGAGUUAAUUAAAAUUCUUAUCUUAAAAUUAUUAUUAUUUUUAUGAUAAUAAUUUUAAGAUAAGAAUUUUAAUUAAGAGUUAAUUAAAAUUCUUAUCUUAAAAUUAUUAUCAAUGAAAGAGAAGUAUAAAUAUAUAUGCCAAUAAUGUAGAGGUAAAAAAGAGUCUGAACAUAUAUACUGUGUAUUUGGAAUUUAAGAAGCUACUGCAUGUAAACUCAAUUAUUAGAGUUAAUCAUCAAUUGAUUCCCUGAAAUUUUAGGGUGGUGUCAAUUCAUUCCUUAUAAUUUUUAAUAUGCCAAAAUAUAAAAACAAUCAAACAUAUUUGUCACUAAGUGAUUGGUCUCAAAUGGUUAAUAAACUCUACCAAAAGAUGGAUCGUUGUGUAAAACAAUUUUUUGUUAGAUUUUACUAACCUCUCAACCAAAUACAAAAAAAAAAAAAAAAUCAAUCAUAUUUGUCAUCUUAAAACAGUUAAUCUCAUUUUAUAAGAAUUACAUUGCAUAAAUGGCAAACCACCAUUUUUUCAUGUAACACAAUCAAUUUUAAAAUAAGUAUAAAAAGUGAUGCGAAGUGGCAACUAUAAAAAGUGAUGUAAAGUGGUAAAGUAGUUGAUUCUUACUCUAAAAUUGUUUUACACCCAAAAUGUAUACUCCUUCCAUUCUUUUUCUUUUGAUGUUUUAGAACUUCAACUAUAUUCUAAAACUUUUGAUGUUUUAGUGAAUUUAUUAUUGUUUUCUCAAAUUUACCUUUGUUGAAAAACACAAUAAACUAUUAAAGUAGUUGUGAUAUUUGGUUUAUCACAUGUGAAUUUAAUGAUAAAUAAGGACAUUUAAAAAAAACACAAAUUGUGCAAGCCUAAAACAUUAAAAGAAAAGCCUAAAACAUUAAAAGAAAAGUAAUGGAGGGAAUACCUUUUAAUUUCAUUUUAUAAAGUAAAUUGAUUGCUUCAAAAUGCAUAGUCGACAUUGAUGAGAGAUAAGCAUUUAUUUUUCAACAUUUCAGACAAUUGUGCAAGUACAUGUGUACUAUGUAUGGCCCACUGAGUAAUGAAUGAUGGCAAACACCUACGCAAACGACAUAAACGAUUAGUAUUUUUGAAAGAGAAAUGAUAUUUGUACAGUUAUUUUGCGACAACUUUUGUCACAAUUUUUUUUUCUAAUAUUCAUAUUAUAUUUUUACUUUCUGUCUCUAUUGUUUUGGUUUCCAUGUUAAUAUCUAUUUUUCUUUGUAAAUUUAUGGUUGUCAUAAAAGUUGUCACACUAAUGGUUGUUCAAAUAACACAUCUCUUUUUGAAAAGAGUAGUGAUAUUUGAAUAACCAUAUGGGACAACUUAUGUGACAAUUUCUUUUUUCUCUCUUUUCAUUGGUCAAAAUCAAUGGAGAGAGAGAAAAAAGAAGAGAGAGAAUAAGAGUUUAACGUGAGUAUGAGAGAUAAAGUUGUCAAAACGUUGUCACAAAAUGGUUGUACAAAUAUCAUUUCUCUUUUGAAAAAUUGAAACGUGUCUGAAUUGAUGCAUGUGAGGUUGUAAGUGUAAAAAUAACCACAUUUUAACUCAUUCAUUCAUUUAUAGCCACAAAUUAGACAAUAAAAUCAUCCGAAAGCAUGUGGCAUAAUGUUUGAAGCCAACUUAGCAUCACACCCACCGUGUUUUCCGCCCAUAUACAAAUUCUAUUGGCUAUCACAAUUCUAGUCAUAAAAGCAUUAUGUUUUGAACUUUUUUUUCUUUUUCUUUUAUGAAAAUAUCCUUAUUUAAUGAGGAUUUUCAAAAUAGUUGGUGUAAAAUAGAUGUUUGUAUAUUAGCUGUCUUUUCAUACCUACAGUCCUAGCUUCGUUCUCCACCGUAACUUGUGAACGAGCAAACAACCGCUUUCUAAAUGAAACCGAAACACCACAUCGGUGACUCCACCACCGUAAGCCUAUCAUGGGGGCUCAUCUAUUCCUUCACAGGCUCUCAACGUGUCUUCACGUUUCCUUCUCUUUAAGUCGGCUACAUGUUAACCGAUCUAACAAUGUUUUAUUAUGUUGGCUCACUUAACAACUCAAAACUGGUUAGUGUUUGGGCCAUUAGUUACGUAGAACAUCACAGUCAGUGGCAUAAUUCAUGGGAUAGUUUGAGAAUGUGAAAUAAAAUACGAUGGGUGUGGAUUAAGUCUUAUUGUUGGGUUGUUUUCGGGAAUUAAGGAUAGAAGAGGAAGAACAAGGUUGAAAAUUGCUUUUCUGACAUAGAAUACUUCCUAUUGACACAAGUAAAUGAUCAAAUUACCUCCAACGGUAGUUAACUGUCCUGGCAUAUGCGCCGGCAGUUAACUGCCGCUGGCUCCUCCAGAGGCAGUUAACUGCCGCUUGGUUUGCUGCUUUUUAUUAUGAUUUUACGCGUUUCGGUAGAAAAAUCAAAAUAAAUCGAAAGUUAUUCAGAAUUCUACGAUACUUUACAGACACCUCUAUAAAAAUACAUAUAGAUGAUGUGAAAAGUUUCGUAACAUUCCGAAUAAGUCUCGAUUUUUGUUUAUUUUUUCGACCGAAACGCGCAAAAUCGCAAUUGAAAAAAUAAAAAACAUUGAAACUUAUUCGGAAUGAUACGAAACUUUUCACAUCAUCUAUAUGUAUUUAUAUAGAGGUGUCUCUAAAGUUUCGUAGCAUUUUGACUAAGUCUCGAUUUAUUUUGAUAUUUCGACCGAACCGUGCAAAAUCGCAAUUUUUUUCAAGUGCAAGUCCGAAAAAGUGUCCUAAAGGUUGAACUUUUUUACGAUUUUUUACACUCAUUUUAGAACAAAAAAAUAACAUCUCCCACAAAAAAUUUGAAUUUUUUGACAUGGGACGGAUUAAAUAUGAAAUUUUAAUGCGCCUAAAAUUUAAGACACGAAAACAUCAACCUAAAAAUUGAAUUUUGAGCUGUUUUUUUGCAGACACCUCUAUAAAAAUACAUAUAGAGGAUCUGUAAAUUUUCUUAGUAUUUCUAGUAAUCCUCAAUUUAUUUUAAUUUUUUUACUGAAACGCGUAAAAUUGCAAUAUUUUUCUAACUGCGCGUCUGGAAAAGUUAGAUAGAGGUUGAAUUUUUUCAUUUUUUUUUGUACACAUAUUAAGAACAUAAAAAAAACAUUUCCCGCAAAAAAUUAGAAUUUUUCGACAACGGAUGGAUUAAAUAUGAAUUUUUAAUGCACCAAUAACUCAAGAAACCAAAACAUCAAGACGUCGACCUAGAAAUUGAAUUUUGAUUUGGUUUUUUGCAGACAGCUCUAAAAAAAUAUAUAAAGAGGAUCUGCAAAGUUUCGUAGAAUUCUGAAUAAAUUUCGAUUUAUUUUGAUUUUUCAACCGAAACGCGUAAAAUCAUAAUAAAAAGCAGCAAAGCCAGCGGCAGUUAACUGCCGACGCAUAUGCCAGAGGCAGUUAACUACCGCUGGGAGUAAUUUGGUCAUUUACUUGUGUCAAUAGGAAGUUUUCUAUAUCAAAAAAGCAAUUUUCAACAAGGUUUUGUAUUCAUACGGAGAAUCUGAUCCACUGACAUCAGUUCUACACCCAUUUUCCACUAUCUUAUAUAAUUUGUGAGUAAAUAGUGGAGACUUUUUUUUUUGGUAGUGUUACUUUUUGAUAGUAAAUAAUGGAGACUAUAACAAACUCUUAGAUUGUUAAUUUAAUUUUCUUUCUAUCUAUUAACUUACUCUUUCAUUCUUUGAUUUUUUAUCAAAUAAUAAUUUGAAACACUACUUACUUGAAAUACUAUGUUUUUAUUAGAGGGACAUGAAAGUAUGAUAUUAUGGUUUAGUAAAAUAAAUGUAUGAAUUUUGUUGGAUACUUUCUUGAAUUUGAAUAUUAUUGAAGUUUGAAUUGUUUUUGGGAAAUUUUAUCAAAAAAUUAUAGUUAUAUAAUUUCUUUUUCUUUUUAAUAAUUAAAUAUUAUUCCGCAUUAGAAACACAAAGUAAGCUAAAAAACAAAAAACACACACCCAGGUGAGAGAGGGGUGUUUCAUAUAUAUCCGAAAAAUAGCCCCCAAAUCCCUCAAAUCAAACAACAAACAACUCCCCAAAAAAACUAGAAGAAUGUUGCUUUUUCCACAUUAGAACUUACUUAAAAAAAACAUGAAAAUGAACAAAAACCCUUAAAUGUAGUUACCUACAGCCGGCCAGUUAACUACCGCCGGAGAUUUUUGGUUAUUUCCAUAUGUUUUUAAGCAAGUUUUAAUGUGGGAAAAGCAAUUUUCAAAUUAGAAAUCGCUAACAAAAACAGCCCAAGUUAAACAGCCAAAAACAUGGGCCUCUAAAGAGCUGCCCAACUAAAAACGAUAUGCUAAUUGCACCUCACAGUAAGCGAAACAGCAAUAACCCAAAAGCAUACAUACGCACCAACUAAGAAACAAUGCAGCUGUUGCACUGACAAUGACCAACAAACCUCGCUAUCUCAAGAGGCAAUUAUUUAGGUUCCACCUCUCUCUGUCUCUCUAUAUUAUAAACAUUUGCCUACUUUAAAUUCAAAAGCACAUGUGGCAUCUUCAUAUUUUAAUUUUUUUUGGUACAAAGUGGCAUCUUCAUAUUAUCAUCAAAUUAAAAUGUUAUGAAACACCUUUCAAAAAAAAAAAAAGGAUUAUGAAACAUUUAUUUUAUAUCAACCAAUAGAAAAAGGUUACAAUAAAAAAGGAUCGUGACUCAUUUGUAAAUUAAUACAUAAUUUAUUCCCACAAUUUGUUUUUCAUCUUUCUCCCAUAGGAAAUGUAUUGUGUGUUUUUUGUAUGGUAGUAGAUUAUGUUUAUGGGGUUGAUUUGUUUUUUUAUUUGUAUCAAAUUGUUAAUUCUACUUUUUUAGGAUUUCAUUGAAGAACAUGUGACUCCAAAUUUUGAAAAUUGAGAAUAACUAUCACAUAUAUCUAAUCACGUUACUUGAAGAAUGUUUAUAUACCAAGAGAAAAAUUGAGAAUGUGUAUUUGAUAAGUAUAUUUUUGGCGUUUUUUCAUUUAGACUGAUUGUAAUGACCGGUUCUAUAUUCUAUUUAAACUGGUGUCACAUUCUUUUGAUAGUAAACUGAUUUACUCUACUAAGGAGAAUUCGUAGUAUCAUUGAUACACUACCAUCCUCUGUAGCACUGACACUUUUGAUUGAAGGCAUGUCUGACACGACAUCGACACAUGAGUUAACAUUUAAGUAUGUUAUAUUUUAAAAUUAAGAACGAAGACGGAGUUAAACAAAUAAAUAGAUUUGAAAAAAAUGUCACAAUGUGUGUGGAUAAAUUAGAGGGCUUGUUUAAAAUAAAAUGAACAUGAAACCAAUGGAAUGAUGCUUUUGGAGCUAGGUAAGUGGGUUUUUUGAAAAUCAACACUUUCUACGUCCUUUGUAGUUAAGCUAUUGCCACAUUUGCAUACUCAUACCGUUUUCUCCUUUUUGUGUACAAGCUAGCUAUUGUCACAUUUGUAUAAUUCAUUACAUUUUCUACUUCUUGUGCAAAAGAUGGUGUAUGUCGGUACUAAUGUAUACAUUGCAAAGUCAAACCUUUACUAACUAUGUAGCUAAAUAUUUCACCCCAAAAAUAAAAUCUAGCAGCAAAGAAUUAAAUGUGAUGGGUGAUACACAUAAUUGCCUUGAGAGAAAUGUAAGAGGUAAAGGUUUCAAGGCACUAUGUUACAGAGAGAAAAUUGUUGAAUCUUUGAGAUGAAAUAAUGGGCAAGCAUGUAAGCACGUGAAGAAAUUAAAUAGCAUGUACUUACAUUUUCCAAAGAUCAGAAAAGAUAAAAAAAAAUUAAGAGUGUGACUGAUGCACAUAUUAUAGUUGUUUCUAGACUCUAGCUAGCAUUCUAUGAUGGACAUAUGCAUUAACUUCCAUCGGACACUGUAAUUUGGGUUUGAAUCCGGAAUUUCCUACUUGUAUAAGGUUUUAAGUGGUUAUUGUCACUCGAUCUAUAUAGAAAAAAACAUAAAUUGUAAAUACUGGUUUGAAAAUAUACAACAGAACAAUCAAUUUCAUUUCACUGAAUGGUCAAACUUCAAUUUUCUCAACUUGGGAGCAACAAAUAUGAAUCCCUCCUUUCAGUCGAAAUACAUAACAUGAUAAUACAACACAAUGUAAACUGAUAACAACAUACUCUUUAAGACUCUUUCGAAACGCACCUUCUUUUAUUGAUUAAAAUUCAUAAAAAUACCUAAAUUGAUGUGAUACCAACUGAUUUGUUGGAUACAGAUUAAAAUAGUGAUAUCCAUUUAAAUUUUAACCAAUAAUAAUUUGUUAGAAAGAGUGCAUUAGAGAGCAAAGAGUGCAUUAGAGAGCACGCACAAUUAUUGGUUAAAAUUCAAAUGGACGGAGAUAGUACUCAGUUUUAAAGACAUCAUGGCUUCAUCACAAGACACAGUGGCAGGACAUCAAGCCGGAAGAUGCAAUUAUUUAUCAAUAAACGCGCUUAAUUUCUUUUCUCCCAAUAGGAAGAAUCAAGGUGGACGGGAUAAAGGUCUACAGCUGAUGAAGAUGUAGCAGUCCAUGGCCCAUCAAUUAAUAAACUCUGACUUUGUGUUUGUGACUUACUUGUACUAUUUUCUUCCAUCUGAUAGUAAUACUGCCUCAAUACUUCCAUGUUCUUUUCAUCCAUUACUUCACUUGAAUCUGACACAAAUUCUGGAACCACAGUCCUUCCUUCAAGCAUACUUACGACUGAGGACAUAGGGGGCCUAAGGUUUGAAGUGACGUUGGUGCAUAGGAGAGCCACAUUGAUCAUCACCAUAGCUUCAUUUUUGUCGAAAUCUAAACCUAAUCUUCUAUCAACUAGCUCCAUCAGGUCACCUCUGUCUUUCAACAAAUGCGCCUGUUGAAAAAAAAAACAAAGAAUAGUUUGAUUUGAAACCAAGUCAUUUACAAUAGGUACAUUCAAUUUCUGAAAAUUAUUCAAAGUAUUAAACUAGUCAUAUAUUCUCUUUUAGAGUUGAAUUAUACGAUGACAAAUGUAUAACAAUACAUGUAUGUGGAUAGUAUACUGGAUAAUCAGAUUUGCAUGACCAAUUGAGAACAAAAAAAAGUUACCCAAUCAAGAAGAUAGAACGCUUGCUCCUUUGACCGAUACAAGGUGUUGCUCUUUCCACUAACGAUUUCUAAGGCAACAAUUCCAAAACUAUAAACAUCUGCUUUGUCCGUCAAAUAACCAUGCAUUGCGUAUUCAGGAGCCAUAUAUCCACUGCAUAAUUGGAACAUAUCAUUGCAAUAAUUGAUUUAAGUAUAGAACAUGAUUUCAGACUUAACUAUUAAAAGUUUCAAUUUAAACUGAAAUUGAUAACUUUUUUGCAGUACUUUUUAAUGAACAAAGAGAAGGCAAGAAUUAUAGUUACUCACUAGGUCCCAGCAAUUUUAGUGCUAAUGUGAGUAUUGUCCUCCUCAUCAAGUUUCGCCAAACCAAAAUCCGAUAUCUUUGGCUCAAGAUCUUUAUCAAGCAACACAUUAGUGGCCUUGAUGUCUCUGUGAACAACCUUCAGUCUUGAUUCUUCAUGAAGGUAUGCCAAACCUCUAGCAAUACCAAUGCAAAUCUUCUGCCUUAUUGACCAAUCUAAUUUUAUUUGGUGUUCCGCUGGACCUUUAUUUGUGAAUAUAAUAAAAAUCAGAAAAAGAUAUCACAUAGUCACGUGCUAAGUGAAAAAAACGUGGAGAGUUCAAAGAAAUAGAUACUGAAGUAGAACAUAUAGGAAAAAUUACCAAAUAAAGCACGAGCAAGGCUAUUGUUUUCCAAGUAUUCAUAUAUCAGCAACAAUUGAUCUCCCUCCACACAACAACCGUGGAGUUUAACAAGAUAAGGAUGUUGCAAAGCAGAAAUCAUGCCUAUCUCAUUUAAAAACUCACGAUUCCCUUGCUUUGAUUUAGAAGAAAGUUGCUUCACUGCUACCAAUGUUCCAUUGGGUAAACAUCCCUACAUUUUGUGGAAUGCUAUUUUGUUAAAAGUUAAAAGAGAAUUUUCUGAUAUAUAUAUGUAACAUUAUAGUAAAAGCUUACACUCGAGGAUUUGUUAUAUUAUGCAAAAUACCUUGUACACGGGGCCAAAUCCUCCUUCACCAAUCUUAUUGGAAAUAUCGAAGUUAUUUGUUGCAGCUUUGAUUUGUCUUAAGGUAAAAAUACCCGUCUGUAGGUCUAAACUAUUUAGCUCUGUUAAUUGAAGUAAAAGAAAGAGUAAAGAUCUCUUGUACUAAUAAAAAUCAAAAUGACACACGUACGGACACUCUACAUCGAUGAUCCAUUUGCUGUAAACUUGCAGCUUUUGUCUCAUCAAGAUAAUUAACUAGGCUCAGGCCCCAUGUGAUUGAGGAAAAAGUUCCAUAGUAAUGACAACAAAAGAAGUUUGUUUGUAAUCACCUCUUGCUAAAUAAUUUUUCUUUCCAAAACUUCCUUUCCACCGAAGUAUGCCAAAUACAAGAAUGAUAAUAACUAUUGCUGCAAACACAAUUCCAACCACAGCUCCUGCAGUUAUGCUUCCAGAUGGAGAGUCUGCUUGAUUAUUAUACAAAAGUUUAAAAUAUUAGAUCAUACUAUGGAGAUUAUAUAUAUAGCAUAAGAUUAGGAACGUACAAAGUAUAACCCACCAGAUUCGACAGAUAUAGCUGAUAUAAGAGGACCAUAUACUGAUCUAUUUGGAAGAGACUUUGUCCCUUUUCCAGCCCAAUACAAACGGAUCUCCAAGGUAUUACUAGUAACAACGAUAUCAUUGAACUGUUUUAUGAUUUUCUUACCAACCCCUCCUGCUUCUUCUGCAAUAUUGAAGUCUUUUUUAACUGGAUUUCCCUGCAACAUUCAAUCACAGCCUUAAUGAUUCAUGAUAAUUACAAACUACAAGUGUUUUAAUGGUCAGUUUGUUUUAAAAAUAUUAUAGAAUUUGAUUUUAUAAAUAAUGCCAAACAAGUGAACUGCACUGAUCAAAAAGUAGUAAUGAUAAUUGUCCUAUAGGAACCUAGUGAUCAUUUGACUGAUGACCUUUCUUUUUAUGAAACAUUUAGUGACUAUUGCAAGAAUAUUGUUAAACCAUGUACCUGAAGGUAGAUAUCAAAUACACGUCGUCCAAGACUACCAUAAGUUUGAUCGUUCGUGAACAUUAUUUCAGCAAAAUGUAGUUUUACUGUGUAACUUCCAUUUGCAAGGCAAAACCCAUAAUAAGUCAAAGAAUUAGGAGAAACACGUGCACUCGUGUACAAUUGAGCAUCGACCAUAGUAAGUUUAGAGAUAUGUCGGGUAGAAUAAGUUCUGAGUUGAUCACUAUCCAUGAAUAUACCAGCGGUGCUGGAAGCCCAUUUUCCUGAUGAACUGGGUUGGAAUCUAGCUGAUCCAGAUGAAUCACCAUCAUACGUCGUUUUGUUGACUGUUUCUUGAUUUCCACCACAAUUUAUAUAAAGAGAUUUUGAGGCUGGGUUGAGCGGAUCAUGUGAGAAACUUUGGCAAUACUAAUGAAACUAAGAAAAUCAAAAAGAAAAAACAAUGAUAUCUUUGCUGUUUAUAGGAAAGUCACCAUGAAGAAACUCACGUUUAGGACAUUCAAAUUGCAAACACGAAACUGCUGUUGGUCUGAGAGAAUGAUGGAAGGAAUAAAACAAGUUAGAAUGAUUAGUAUAAUAAGAUUCAUCACAGGAUAAGACGGAAAUGCCAAGGCUAUGUAUGUAUGUAUGUAUGUAGGUAUGGCUCUGGUGAGAAAACUUUAUUAAUAUAAGAAACGAUGACAACUCAUUUUAACCGUCCGAUUAAGAAAUGAGUGGCUGUAAAUUAGAAAACCCAUAUAUGUGUGUGUAUGCACAUGUUUUAGUAUUUAUAAUACAAAACUUACUUUCUGUUGUGUGCCCAUGCAGUAGAAAACAAGUUCCUGUGACAUAUUACAGUAGGUAGUGUCUCAAAGCAGAUUCUUAAGCUUGCUAACAAAUGCACAUAAAUUCAUGGAUUCUUACACUUUUUGAUUUUGAUCUUGACAUUUCUGAUUCACUUCGUUGAUGCUGAAAUUAUUGUAUGAAAGAUCUCUGUAUACAAGUCAUAAACUUCGAUUCAGAUUAUGAUAAUAAUAUUAAAAUUAGAUACUAAAUGAAACAUUUGGUGACUACAGAGAAUCUAACAAUAUGAAUAUCUUGAAUAUAUAUAAUAAACAAUUUCACAAUCAUGCUCCAAGAGUAUAGAAGUUUCAAACCGAUUUACUUACUGGGAAGUAAAUGAGAAAUAAGCUCCUCAUCAAUUGGUUCAUUAAAACAAAUAAAACAGUAAAUUUAAGCGAAGAGAAUUAUGUUCCAUAAAUAAUGACGAUAGAAUGAAAAUCAAUUGAGAAGAAUGUUUUUUAUUUAAAUCUGAAUUUAAACUUAAGAAUGACAUAUUGGAGAUAACAUAUUAAACUAGAGACAUGAAACAUGAAAGUUAUAUGGAAUCAGCCUAAACAUAAAUUCGGAGAAACAUAAUCAUGCAGCUUUACGAAGUUAUGAACUUAUGAUGUGAGAGAAACUAAACUAAUGAUUGUGAGCCUGAUACUAGAGUUCAUCAGGAGAACAAUAACAAAGGAUUAAACUGUAGUUAAUCAUUUGUAAAUAAUAUUAUUUGCGUAUAAUAUUUGCAUAUAAUAUUUAGAAGUUUUUAUUUGGCGACAAAUAGUUAAUCAUUGCACUUAUUGCAAGAAGAAUAAAAAAUAUACAGCUAAAACAAAAAAUUCUCAAUUAAAUAAGACGAAGGGGAAAAAAGGAGGGAAGCAAGUAAAAAGAAAAGGCCAAGUACACUUAGAAAAGUAACAAAACAAACAGGCCGCGUUUCUAGUUUUUUGUUACGUAAAUGAAGUAAAUUAUUCAAUCAAAGGAACCAUACAACUAAUACUGGAAAGAUAACUCACACGUCUGAAUCCUUUCCCCAAGCAGAAGGAACUUGUCCAGUGAGAAGGUUUCCUGUCAAAAAUCUAUCAUAAUAGAAUAUCAAGAUAUUAAUGUGCAAAGCUUAUAAUAUUUAUAGAGGUGAACAUUAAGGGAAAUAAUCUAGUCAUUUUAAUCACUCCAGUUUAUCUCUUCAUCUCUACGAAUGAACGGAUUGGUUCAGGAUAAUUGUCUUGAGAGAGGGACCCUUCUAUACAGAAAAGCAUUCUAAUUCUUAGACACUGACUAAAAGAUUAAUGAAAACUCAAAAAUGCCUAAACUUAUUGUUGAAAUAUAUAUUUCCUUUUAUUAUUAUUGUAUUUUAAUGUUUGUUUAUUUUUCUUUAUAUCUUUUCUUAAAUUAAGGAGUUGAUUAGUUGCAUUCUCUCCUAUAAAAGGAGCACCAUUCUCAUUGAAAUAAACAACUCUCUAGUUAUAGAGUAAUUUUUACACUUAUCACUUUGACUCUCAUCAUCGCACUUCAUUAUAUAUUGUCACCUUAUUUCUCUUAUGUCCUUUUCCUUUUCAGAUGGCAAGGGCAUGUGAUCCUUUUGACACAAAAAAGAUGCUUCAGAAAUGUGCAAAUAUAUUUCCCUGAACUUUGCAAUUGAUAUCCAAUGACAGAUGUUUGAGUAGUCUUUAUACGUGCAGGAAAUGUAAUUAGCAGAAGUUUUCAAACCACUUAAAGUAUUGUAACCAUGAUCAUCGUUUACUAUAAUGUAACAAUUGAAACUCAGUCUGGACUACAUGAGCUCCAUUAGGUUGACAUUUAGUCAUGUAUUUAGGUUGUGUUUAAUCCUCAUGAAUCUAAGUAGGAGUAUUCAGGCUAAAAGUUGAAAUUAGAUUUGCAGGUAUAAAGAAACCAGCAGAUAUGUGAUUAAAAAUAUAUGCUUAAAACAAAUGUGCUAAAAUUUACGAAGAAUUUCAUACAUGUAUGUAAAGUUUAUGUCAGCAUAGGUCCUCGGAAUCAUUCCACUUAAUUUGUUAAAGCUGAGGUCUCUGAAACAGAUACAUUGAAAACAAGUCAACCAGAUACAGAGAAACUUUAUCAUAGAAAAACAUUCCAAUAACAUAAUUAAGUAGAUAGCUAUAUAACUUUAAUAUAUAUCAAAUAGAGCAAAUAAUCAAUUACAAGUAUUCAAAAGUUGACGUAUUCCCAAGAUUUUCAGGUAGCAUUCCAUUGAUGUUGCAAUUCCUCAGAACCCUAUGAAACAAUAAGAUAGACAACGAUAUAUUAUGAUUGCCUUUCUUGCUGAUUUUGUUUUGUUUUCUAUUUCUGAAAGAGACGGGAAUCAACUCACAGAUUUUUAAACGAUGUCAUACUAUUAAAUUGUGGCAAAGGUGCAUAUUCAGAUCCACUCAAAUCGCUAAUUCUCCUGAAUGUUACAUUUGAAUCAAAGGUAAGUAAACAUAAUUAAAGUAAAAGUAAAAGUUCAACCAUAAAUAUAAAAUGGCAUACAUACAAGUCAGUUAACUUCGUCAAAAGUGAAAUUCCAGAAGGAAUAGGCCCACUUAAUCCACUUCCUUGAAUCACUCUGCCAAGAACAAAGUAACCAUGGAUAAUUCUUUUGAGAAGUAAAUCAAUACAAAAACAAUCAAAUUUGAGUAUACAUAAAAAAUAAAGAAGAAAGUCCAUACAGUUUAUUAAUACUUGUCCAGUUUUGAAUAUAAUCGGGUAUCUUUCCAGAAAAUUGGUUGUCCCCAAUCCAGCUGCAUUGAGAGAGGGCAUGAGAAUAUAAAGCAUAAAAAAAAAUACUUUUUCAUUUAGUCAUCGAUAAACAUCACCAUUAAAUUUUAAGCUUACAAAUCUUCCAAUGUAGUGAGCUUAGCUAAUGUCGCAGGUAGUUCUCCAGUAAAAUUGUUAGAGGAAAAUCGCCUAUAUAUCAUUGAAAAACAAAACAGUAUCUUAUGAUUCUAAGUCAUGGAAAUCAAAGUGGAUUUAAUUUUUUAACUUUUAGCUUCCAUAUUUUAAGUGAGAACAUCAAUUGAGGGAAAAAAAAAUACUUACAGUCUUUGAAUCUGGGUUAGAUUUCCAAGCUCAGGAGGAAUAUUUCCAAACAUUUGAUUUUCCGAUAACUCACUAUCCAUUUCAAGUUAAAGUUAAGUUCUAAAAAACAUUUUGAAUUCAACACAUACAUGUUUGUAUACUUAGAAGAAAUGGAUAUUUUCUGCUAAGGUGGGUGAUGAGAAACUCACAAGGUUUGGAGAGUAGAUAAGUUUGCAAUCUCCACUGGUAUUGAGCCUGUUAAACGAUUUCCGGGCACAGCACUAUGACGAUUAAGAAACAUGUCUUCAUUAGCUUAUUGUGUUACAAAGUCUUGUAUAGAAUGUGAUAUAAGAACCAUAUGUCAAAGAUCGACAACGUAUAAUAUAUCGAACAAUCAAUGAUUAAAAACAAGAACAGAAAAAUGAGACAAAUCAUACAUUUUAAUAAUAUUCAUCAUGGAGCCCCAUUGUUUCGGAAUUGUACCAUUCAAGUAAUUGCGAGAGAGGUCGCUGUAAUAGAGGAAGAGAAAGUAAUUGCCAAGCAAAAUAAUAUAUAGAUGCAUGUGAUCUAGGAUAUAAAACAAGUUCAAUUAUAUUGUAAAUUUGGAUGUAAGGUACUGUUUAGGAAUUACAUACAUAGUUCGAAGGUAAUGCAACCUGGUAAAUUCUGGUGGGAGAGUCCCCGGGAGAUUUUGCCCUUUCAAAAUUCUGUAUGUAUAAUUUAUUACCAUUAAAAAGUUAAACAUAUGCAAAAAUAAGUAAUUAAUUCUAAUAUAUUCCUUAACCAAAAGAUUUUAGAGAAAAAAUUUCGACAAGCUCUUUUACUCUAGAGUCUUAAAAUUGAUUUCACAAUUUGUCAAACAUUUUUUCAGUAAAAAAUAAGGCUUAAUUACUCUUUUGGUCCCUUAACUAUUAAAAGUUUCGUUUUGGUCCCUUAACUUACUUUUUGGUUUCGUUUUGGUCCAUUAACUAUUAAAAGUUUCCUUUUGGUCCUUUAACUUACUUUUUGGUUUCGUUUUGGUCCAUUAACUCUUCCUCCGUCAACCACUUUGGUCAUUUAUAUUAGGAUGAAUGUAUUAGAGUUAAGGGACCAAAACGAAACUUUUAAUAGUUAAGGGACCAAAAGAAAAACCAAAAAUAAGUUAUGGGACCGAAACGAAACUUUUAAUAGUUAAGGAACCAAAACGAAACCAAAAAAUAACUUAAGGGACCAAACGAGUAAUUAAGCCUAAAAAUAAAUAUCUUUGACACAAUUGAUUUUACUUUCAAAUCUUUUUUGGUUUCGUUUUGGUCCCUUAACUCUUCCUCCGUCAACCACUUUGGUCCAUUAUGUUAGGAUGAAUAUAUUAUAGUUAAGAGACCAAAAUGAAACCAAAAAAUAAGUUAAGGGACCAAAACGAAACCAAAAAAUAAGUUAAGGGACCAAAACGAAACCAAAAAAUAAGUUAAGGGACUAAAACGAAACUUUUAAUAGUUAAGGGACCAAAAGAAAACCCAAAAAAAAGUUAUGGGACCAAAACGAAACUUUUAAUAGUUAAGGAACCAAAACGAAACCAAAAAAUAAGUUAAGGGACCAAAAGAGUAAUUAAGCCUAAAAAUUUCAUAGAUGUAUAAUAAUAACAAAUUUAAAUUUCAGGUGUUAACCGAUCCAACUAAAGAAUACACAAAUAUGCAAUGUAAAUUCUUGCAUAUAUAUGAAUUUAAUGACUUCAUUUAUACCGUAAAUGACGAAAAUAAAUACACGGAAAAUAGACUUACAUUUCAACAACAUGGCAGAAGUUGUCAUCAGCAACACUGCAGUUACAAAAAACAAUGUUCACUACGACUUGCAAUCUCUGAAUCCGAGGCGUAGGCGUGGCCCAGUUAGAAUUGUUGCUGCAUGGAUCAAUGCUGAAGUUCCAAUCCGUCUUACCAAGUGAUUUAGCUAUAUCUUCAAGAGCUUUCACUAAAUAUAAAAUUUAGAGCUAUCAGUUAAGUACUGAAAAAUAUUUUAAACUACACACACAUGUCAUCAAAUAUAUAUAAAUAGAUAUCAAAGAAACCUUGGAUAAAAAGAAAGAUGGAAAAGAAAGAUCAAAGAAAUUUAUUUGUUAUAUAUAUGAGUCAUAUAUAAAUAGAUAUCAUAUAAAUCUUCUAUACUUCACACUAGUGUGUGUGUAAUUAUUCAAAAUUUCUAAAGAAAUUAUGAGCAAAAGAUACAUGAUAUUUGCUAACAUGAAUCCUUAGAUAAAAAGAAUAGAAAAAAAAAUGAAAGAAGUUUCUUUAUUGUUUAGUAGCUAUAGCAGAAAUAGAUAUCAUACUUUCGUCGGGGUGAAUAGUAGUAGCUUCAAAACCUGGAAGAGAUAUGAACCAAAUGGCAAUGAGAGAAAGAAAGAAAAACUGAGAGGAAGUGUUCAUCUUAGAAUUAUUAACAAGGAAAAGAUAAGUUUAGAUAUAUCAAUAUUUUUGAAGGAAGAGAUUCUAAUAUAUAUUGUGUAUGUUGAAUUUUCAGAAACAAGAACAAGUCAACAAUGCAAGUAAACGCGUGUAUCAUUGUAAAUAAACAAUUUGGCCUCUGUGUGAAUAAAUUCUUACUUAAGCACUUAUAGCAUAAGCACAAUCAUGUAAGUAAUUAUGUAUAAGUUUUUUGCACAAUAAAGUAAACAAAAUUCAUAUAAGCUAUCCAUAAGUUGAGUUUAUAAACUCUCCCAAACUGUUUGACAAGUGUUUAUAGAAGUAAAUAAGCUCAAAUAAGUGAAUCAAGUAAAUUUAAGGAAUAUUUAAAAAUUGAUUGAUUUCAGAGAGUAAUAUGAGAGCAGCAACAGUUUAAUGAAGUAAAUUGAUGGAUACCCACCAAGAAACAAAAGAAAUUAAAGUCAAACAUAUAAGUGAAUGAUGUUUAAUUCUCAUUUAUGAUUCUACAGUGGGGAGACAUGUAUUUAAAGGGGAAAAUAUAUGGCAUAGAAAUAUUGAGAAGACUCAGAAAAUGUAUAUACAAGUCAAUAUUUAGACAAUUCUUCACCUACUAUAGAUGUAUCCCCCAUUCAGGAACUAUGACAAACAGAUAUAUGUCAUAUGCAAUUAUUUUUCAAAAUAUUUAAUUACUUUGAGUAAUUCCCUUAAAAAAAAUUACUUUGAGUAAUAAAAAUUUAAAAAUCCAAAAAUUCUACCAUCAGUUUCAACAUAAAUAAAGAGCAAAUGACAUUUUGGUAUGAGAAUGUGUCAAACACUGAAAUCAUAAAUAAGAUCAAAAAAGUCAAUAACACGAAUUAUGCGUGUUUCGGCGUCGGACACACGACAUGACACCAAAAUAUAUCAUUAGAUUGAAUAAGUAGUUUUCUCAAAUUAUUAUUAGUGUAUGUGUGUCAGUUUCCUGUGUAUGUUCCCGUAUUCAUGCUUCAAAACCGACGCGGUUGCCUUAGCCUUGACCAAGGGUGGCCGCCUCUCUCACUACCUCUCUCUCUCUCUCAACAUAUUUUUUCAAGUUUUUAAUUGAUAUAAUUCUCCCACCACAUUUUUAUGUUUUUAUUUUGGUCACAUUAAAAAGAGAGUUUAGUUGUUAUUGAGCAAACCGUACUGUUGGAGAUCGCUUCAGCCAUAUACCAACCUUAACUUUCAUACCUUUUGGCUAUAUAUUUUUAACCUUGCAAACAAAAUAAACCAUUGGUUUGAAAAUAUAUAUUAGAACAAUGAAUUUCAUUACACUAAAUGGUCCAAUUCAAUUUUCUCAGCUUGGGAGCAACAAAUAUGACUCCCUCAUUUGAAUCGAAAUUCAGAACAUGAUAACACAGCAUAAUGUAAACUUCUAACAAUAUACCCAUUAAGAAACUUUCCAAAUGCAAGUUCUUUAUUGAUUAAAACUCAUAUAAAUACCUAAAUUUAUGUCAAACCAACUGAUUUGUUGGAUACAUUUUAAAAUAGUUGGAUCUAUUUAAGUUUUAACCAAUUAUCAUGUGUUAGAAAGAGUUCAAUAGAGAGCACACACAAUAAAAAUGGUAUAGUACUCAGUUUUAAAGAUAUACAUCAUGGUUUCAACGCAAGACACAGUGGCAGGACUCAAGCCAGCAGAUGUCAUUACAUAUCAAUAAACGCGAUUAAUUUCGUUCCUCCCAAUAGGAAGAAUCAAGGUGGACGGGAUAAAGGUCUACAGCUGAUGAAGACGUAGCAGUCCAUGGCCCAUCAAUUGUUAAACUCUGACUUUCCGUUUGUGAAUUACUUGUAUUAUUUGCGUCAAUCUGAUAGUAAUACUGCCUCAUUACUUUCAUCUUCUUUUCAUCCAUUACUUCACUUGAAUCUGGCACAAAUUCUGGAACCACAUUUCUUCCUUCAAGCAUACUUACCACGGACGACAUAGAUGUCCUAAAGUUUGAAGUGACGUUGGUGCAUAGGAGAGCCACAUUCAUCAUCACCAUGGCUUCCUUUUUGUUGAAAUCUAAACCUAAUCUUCUAUCAACUAGCUCCAUUAGGUCACCUUUCUCUUUCAACAAUUGUGCCUGUUGAAACCAAGUCAUUUAUAAUUGGUACAUUCAAUAUCUAAAAAUUCUUCAAAUUAUGAAAUUGGGUCAUACUUCUGUUAAAUUACUUAAGAGCAAAAUGAUACCGCUUAUUAAUAUACUCCUUGAUAUUAUGAUUCUAGAAAAGGGAAGUAACUUAAAAUGUUAUGUACAAUUAUUCUUCUGGACAAGUAAAAAUUACAUAUUCUUCUGAUUCUCUUUGUUGUCCUAAUGAAAUGUAAUACUUAAACAAACAAAUUUUAAUUGUUGGUCAAGACGAGGAAAGGGGUGAUAAAGGGGAUACAUGACUUUAUUCACUUUUAGAUUUGAAUUAUUAGAUGAAAAAUGAAAAAUAUACACAAGGCACUGAACAAAGUGUAUGUAGACAGUAGCAUGCAUGGAUAAUCAAAUUAUUAGAUGAAAAAUAUACACUUUUUGAGAACAUCAUCAAAAAUUUACCCAAUCAAGAAGAUAGAAUGCUUCCUCCUUUGUCCGAUGAAUGGUGUUUCUCCUUCCGCUGACAAUUUCCAAGGCAACAAUUCCAAAACUAUAAACACCGUCCCUGACUGUCAAAUAACCAUGCAUUGCGUAUUCAGGAGCCAUAUAUCCACUACAUGGUUGGAACAUAUCAUUGAAAUAACUUUGAUAUAAGUAUACAAUAUGACAUCAACCUUUUAUAUUAUAAAAAUAUACAAUUUAAAUUGAAUUUAGUAACUUUUUGCAGUUAUUUAUAAUCAACUAGGAGAAGUCAAGAGUUAUAGUUUUCACUAAGUUCCGGCAAUUUUAGUACUAAUGUGAGUAUUGUCCUCCUCAUGAAGCUUGGCCAAACCAAUAUCAGAUAUCUUUGGGUUGAGAUCCCUAUUGAGUAAUACAUUGGUGGCCUUGAUGUCCCUGUGAACAACCUUCAGUCUUGAUUCUUCGUGGAGGUAUGCCAAACCUCUAGCAAUACCAACCUUUAUUUGUGAAUGUAAUAAGAUUCAGACAAUGAUAUAUAAAGUCAUGUGCUAAGUUUGAAUAUGUGAAAUAUUACAUUAAUAGCAACCUGAAUUAUAUCAUAUAGGAAAAAUUACCAAAUAAAGCACGAGCAAGGCUAUUGUUUUCCAAGUAUUCAUAUAUCAGCAACAAUUGAUCUCCCUCCACACAACAACCGUGGAGUCUAACAAGAUAAGGAUAUUGCAAAGCAUAAAUCAUUCCUAUCUCAUUUAAAAACUCACGGUUCCCUUGCUUUGAUUCAGCAGAAAGUUGCUUCACUGCUAUCAAUGUCCCAUUGGGUAAACAUCCCUGCAUUUUGAGGAAUGUUAUAUUCUGAAAAAUAUAUGUAAAGAUAUAGUAAAAGCAUGACACUCAAGAUACUUGGUUAUAUUAGUCAAAAAACCUUGUACACAGGACCAAAACCUCCUUCUCCAAUCUUAUUUGAGACAUCAAAGUUGUUUGUUGCUGCUUUGAUUUGUCUCAAUGUAAAUAAACCCGUUUGCAGGUCCAAACUCUUAAGCUCUGUUAAUUGAAGUAAAAGAAAGAACAAAGAUCUCUUAGACAAAUAAAAUUAAACACGGACAUUGUGCAUAUACAAUCCUUUUCAAGUAACAUUUCAACUUUCUUUUUAUCAUGACAAAACUAGUCUCAGGUUCCAUAGCACAUUAUACUGAUAAACAUACAUACUCAAACAUGCUCGGAUACACAACAUGAACAAGUUUAUUUUAAUCACUUAUGUAACACCCCUACUAGAAAUUUCCUAGGAUAUCUAGCAUGAGUGUUAAACUUGGCAAUGGAUACAUUAAAAUUACAACAAUAAAAAUUUUCUUUGAAUAGGAUACAGAAAAUUCUCGUCUUAUACCUUGGAAAUAACACUACUGGCGUGAACUUUGUAUGGUCCAUCAACUUCUGCUUCUUCAUCACGAACCAUGAUGUCGUAUAGUAACCUGAAUAUCUGAAAUAAAUAAAAGAGAUCGGGGUGAGACAUGAUGUUUCAGUGAGUUCCACCUAUCCUAGGUUGUAGGCAAUCUCAGGGAACCUAGGAUCGCCAUCUGUUCUAAUCUCAACCAUUUCAGGUUUAUACAGUCUUUAUCCUACAUAAUUGAACGAUCAGGGAUAACUAGGGUCACUACCUAGAAUACUAUCACGAUUCUAUCAUAAUGUCAUAUUCUUAUUCAUACACAUACUUAUAAUCAUAAUCAAAAUUCUGAACUUAAAGUUCAUGUCAUUAAUUAUAUAUUUCACUAUGUGCGUAUAGAUCAUAUUAUCUUUUUGUUGUAGCGACGGUAACAUUUUCACAUUUGUUACUAUGAGCCGUACCUCAUAGGCUACAUUAUCUCUUCGUUGUAGCAAACGGAGUUUUCACAUUUUUUACUAUGAGUCGUACCUCAUAGGCUACAUUAUCUCUUCGUUGUAGCAAACAGAGUUUUCAUAUAUUUUUUUACUAUGAGCAGUACCUCAUAGGCUACAUUAUCUCUUCGUUGUAGCAAACAGAGUUUUCACAUUUUUUUACUAUGAGCCAUACCUCAUAGGCUACAUUAUCUCUUCGUUGUAGCAAACGGAUUUUUCGCAUUUUUUUUUUCUCUGAGCAUGUUACUCAUUUCCAUUUUUUCUUUCAAAUAAUUUAUAUUAGUAUAUAUAUCAAUUGUCUUGCUUAGUGUUUUAAUGCUAGAACCAAUUCACGUGAUCAAUACUUUCACAACUUUCAUAUCAUAUACAAUUUCGUUCACAUUAUCAUGACUUUGCAUAACCAUUAAAACCUCGAUUGUAUUGAGUAAAAGUAAAUAGCACCAUUUCAAUGACAUGAUUCAAACUACCCAAAGGGAGAGUUAACUAACUAAGGAACUCACCUUGAAAUACUUUUGGAAAAACUUGCAAAGCAUCUGAUCAACAAUCUGCAGCUUUUGCGAUCUCCAAAACUCCAUAAUCACUUUUCCAAAACAACUUAUGCCCUAGCUUAUAGUUUCUACCCUUUUUGAAACAUCUCAACUCACUUGUGUUCCACUCUUACUUCAUCGACCAGCAUGUACAAAAAUUCUCAUUUCAGUCUCUGCACCAGAAGUUCACUGUUUGGCCACUUAAGCACUUUUGUCAUUAAUAAAACAGCUUAUCAUUUUACCGUUACUCAUAUACCAAUAUAAUAUACCUCCCCUAAGUUGGUCAUCACAAAACUAUACCUGAAACGGCUCAAAUUCCAACUUAAGCUUUUAUCCAAACAGCUUAAUUAAAACUUAUGGCUUCUAUCAAAUUAAGUUCGACCCAACCAUUAACACAACAAUUCCAAAAUGUAUAAUAAUCCCUAAGAAUCACUUUUACAGCAAAUUAAUCAACAGCUUAGUCAUUUAAGACAAAAUUCCCAUAACAGCUUAACUGACAGUUUAUGACCUCUAAACAAUUCCAUUUCAAUUCAAAUUUUCCAGAAUCAAAUAAAACAUGUAUACACAGCUCCUAAUCCAUUUCUACACCAAUCCUAACAAUAUUAAUUCCAAAAAUUAACUAUGAAAGCUUUUGGAACAACUUAUGACUUUUAGCCUCUAGCUUUUCUUUCCAAACAGCAACAACAAUACUAAGCUACUAACAGCCCUCACCUCAAUAUUCUUGCCAAGCCAAAACCCUAGCUCUUGUGUCUUGCAUUAAUCUUGCUCAAACUUGCCUCUAAUGCUCAAAACACAACAUAAAGCUUCAAAUUUUUGUACAUGAUUACCAACACACUUUAACCUCUUAAACCCAUGCUAUGAGUCUCUUGUAUGAACUUCUUAGGAAAGGAUAAGAGAAAGAUUGAGUUGUCUAAAGGUUCCAUUUCUACAAUAAUUCAAGAAAAACACUAAAACUUGAUGAUUACAUAAAGAAGUGAUGAUUUUUGGUGAACUAGGGAAGAAGAGGAAAAGGGACGUGAGGUAGGGAGAAGAAGAGGAAGAAAAAUAUCUGAUUUGGGUGAGAGAAUGGGGUAGAAAAGUGUGGAAACUUUAUUUUGGAUAUUUUGUCUUAUAUAUACCCCACUUAGGGGAAAUGACCAUUUUACCCCUUUUUGGUCUUCUUAACUUAAUUUAUCUGAUAAAAAAAAUACCGUCAAAACUUUAAGCGGCAUAUUUCAUUCCCCGUAAUCCGUUGUAAUCAUAUAAUUCGGUCAUGAAAAGUCUUACUUGCAAUUACUAUUUUGCUCUUCACUUGAAAGUUCCGAGGAUAAAAUAACUUGUAUCGAUAUCUGACUGAAUCUCACAUGCGGGAUAUUACAACUUAGAUAAUUGAUAUGUUAGAAAAAAGAUUGAUGAUAACGGCUAAAAAAUAAAUUAAUUUGCAUGCACCUCUUUCUAAUGAGUUUUUCUUUCCAAAACAUUCUUUCCACCAAAGUAUACCGAAUAUUAAAAUAAUAACAAUCGUUGCUGCAACCAAUAAUCCAACCACAGUUCCUGCAGAUAUAUAUGCUUGCAGGUGAAGAGUCUGCUUGAUUGUUUUACAAGACAUUUAAAAUAUUAGAUCAUAACAUAGAGAUCAUAGCAUAAGAUUAGGGAUGUACAACGCAUAACCCACCGGAUUUUACUGAUAUAGCUGAUAUAAGAGGACCAUAUACUGAUCUAUUUGGGGGAUAGUGUCCUUUUUCCAGCCCAAUGUAAGCGGAUCUCCAAGGUAUUACUAGUAACAACAACAUCUUUGAACUGUUUAAUGACUUUCUUACCAACUCCUCCAGCUGCUUCUGCAAUAUUAAAGUCCUUCUGCACUUGCAUUCCCUGCAACAUUUCAAUCAGAACCUUAAUGCUUCAUGAAUAUGACGACCUAUCAUUAUUUUAAUCUUUAUCCUUCAUUGAGUUUUAGAAAUUUUAGAAACCAUGUCAAACAAUGUUGUUAUAGGAAACUAGUGAUCACUUUGCUAUUGAAAGAAAAAGAAAAUUGUACCUGAAUAUAAAUAUCAAAUACACGCCUUCCAAGACUACUAUAAGUUUGAUCGUCUGUGAACAUUAUUUCAGCAAAAUGUAAAUUUACUGUAUAGCUUCCAUUUGCAAGGCAAAACCCAUAAUAAGUCAAAGAAACGCGUUCAUUCGUGUACAAUUCAGCAUCCACCAUAGUAAGUUUAGAGAUACUUUGUGAGGAAUAAGUGUCUCCAAGUUGAUCACUAUCUAGGAAUCUACCAGUGCUGCUAAAUGCCCAAUUUUCUGUUGGACUGACAUCGGAUCGAGCUGGUCUAGAUGAGUCUGAAUCACCAUAAUAACUUUUUCCGUUGACUAUCACUUGCUUUCCACCACAAUUUAUAUAAAGGGUGUAUGAGGCUGGGUUAAGCAGAUCAUGUCAGCAACUUUGGAAAUAAUAAGGAAAUUAUAAAAACAAUAAAGAAAAAUAAUUUCCUUGAAAUUUUAUUUUCAUAAACUUGUUAUCUCUCUCUCUCUCUAGCUAUUUUUUUUUUCCCACUGCAGAUGAAGAUAAAAGGAGGGAAUCAUGGGCGGUUGCAUAACUCUAGUCAAACAAAAGUCAUGAUUUCAUUAAUGUAGUGUACCCAAAGUAAAAAAAUAAGCAUCGUUGUCUGUCGUCCCCUCUCCUGUUGUAUCUAUGUUUUUAUUUUUUUAUUUUUAUAAAUAAAGUAAAAACAUCGUGAAAUCUUAGCUAUCUAUAGGAAAGUAAGCAUGAAGAAACUCACGUUUAGGACAUUCAAAUCUCAAACAUGAAACUCCUCUCUGAGAGAAUCAUCAAAGGAAUAGAACAAGUGCAUGAUUAGUAAAAUCAGAUUCAUCACAUGCUAGUGAAAUGGAAAGGAUAUCUAAAUUCAAACUUCAAUGUCUUGUUUUAGUAUUUAUAACACCAAACUUACAUGUCAUUGUGUGCCGAUGAAAUAGAAAACAAGUUCCUGUGCCAUAUUGGAGAAGUUGGUGUCUCAGGAAGAAUCAUGUGACAAACAAAUGCAAGGAAUCUUGCACUUUUUGAUCUUGACAUAUAUGACUCCCUUGGCUAAUGCUGAAGUUAUUGUAUGAAAGAUCUCUACACCCAAGUUAUAUACUUUGAUUUAGAAUAUGAUAAUAAUUCGACAAUUAGAGACUUAACGGAAGAUUUGGUCUACUUAAUUACUACCCAUCAUUAACUAAACAUUAUGCAAGAAAACACUAUACAACUAAAAAUACAUUUUUUAAAUAACAAGAGGGGGAAAAAGGUGGGAAAAAAUGAAAAUUUCAGUUAGAAAGUAAAAAAGAAAUGAUAUGUUUCCAGUAUUUUUGGCGCAUAAAUGAAGUAAUAUUUUCAAUCCAAUGAAUCAUACAGGUAUCUGCCUAUGAAUCUGGAAUAGCUGCUUGCAGAUGCAAUCUCCAUGGGCGUUUGACUCUGCACAAAGGAGAUACAGCGUUAACAACACAAGCCUUGAAGACGAAGCUUAACAAUCUUUGGCCCCAAUUACAAAAUUGGAGUUUGAUUCCCCUUGGUAAGGGUUUCUUUGAGCUUAAUUUCAAUUCAAUUGACGAUAUGAAGCAGAUUUGGGCCAUUGGUGUUGUUAACCUAAAACCUGGAUUCAUGCGGUUCUAUCGUUGGACAAAGGAUUUCACGCCCAAAGGACAUAGCAUUCAUGCUUGCUCCAAGAUAAAUGCUGCUACCAAUGUUCAAGUUACUAAGAGUAAUAAUGUGAACCAAAGAGCUCAAUCAAAAGCUGAUUUGGCCAAUAAGAAAAGUGCUAAAUUUCCUGUCAAUACAGUUGAUGCUAUAACUGUUAAUGCACAAGUACACCCUCACAUUGCAGCAAUUGGUAAUAAGUCUGCUAAGGUAUCUUCUCAUGAUGACAUUCAGGAGGCCCCUUUUGUUUCAACUGAUGAUUUUGAGGAAGGUGAAGUAUCAGCUCCUGAAAGCAAUGAAAUUGCAGUCCUCAACACUGAACUUCAUGCUAAUGAUCAGAGCCAGAAUAUUGGAGACAUGAAUCUCACACUUCACAACUCAUUUGAAUUGCUUGAAAGUGGUUCUAAGCAUGUCAUAGGGGAGGCUAAGCCAAAUGAUGAGGAAUCUAUUCCCAUAUUACUGGAUAUGCAAAUUGAUAAAAAUCCAAUUGUGGAAGACAAUUCCCUAGGGAAGGAGAAAUUGACUCAUAACACAAACUUAGAGAAUCCUGGUAAUUUGGUAAAAAGGAACUCUAAAAUUGCUGCUUUGAGUCCAAAUCCUCUUUUGGGCCCUGUUAAUGGGAGGCAAUCUUUCCCCAUUACAAGUCCCUCUUCCCUAGCUCAGAGUAGUAACAUUGGGAGGAUGUCAUUCCCCAAUGCUAUUGCUGUGUCAUUUGGUAAGGCUAGGGAUCCUUUUUAUGAUACUACCAUCACAUUGCAGCCCAUCACUACCCCUAUCACCACUCAUGAUGAGAUAUUAGGACAAGAUAAGAAAAAGGUGCUUUUCACUGUUGGCCCUAAAAAUCUUUCUGCUGCAUGUUUGAAAGAUGGUAUGAAUUUGAGUAAGUUUUGGGAGGAUGAGGACAACGAUGCUACUGAUAGCAUAUUGGACCCUGAAACUGACUUCGAAGCUCAUAACAACUCUCAUUCCCCAGAUGCAUCUAAACAUCUAGUUUCACCACAUGAAACUGUGAAGAAGAGUAAAAGAGGCAGACAUCAGAAGCAAUACACUAGUAGUGAGCUCAUACAAACGCGUUCCAAAAAGGGUGUGAUCAAAAGCAAUCCCAAAUAUAUGUGAUUGUCUUGUUGAAAGUUCCAUAUCUUGCAGUUGUUGUUCUUAUUUGGGUUCAUCUUCUGCUAUUCUAGAUGGUUGCUGAAUCUAUCUUAGUGGGAUAGAUUGUAUUCUUUUAAUACUUGAUUUUUUUUUUUUAUACUACUAGUUUUGCUGCUGGACUGGUUUGCUUUCUUUGAUUAGUUGUUCCUGUUAGUGUCAUAGCUAGUCUUACGUGGUAGCCAUUGUUGGAUGUGGUCUUUGUACCUCCAUUGGAAGGGGUGUUCUUUUUGUUGUCUUAGUUUGGAUUGUUUGAUUGUAUGUGGUUCAGGCAGCUCCUGAGUUUUAUAUUCCAUUUUAAGCUUGAUCAAAAAAAAAAAAAAAAGUAGUAUUAGAAAGAUAGCUCACACGUCUGAAUUCUUUCCCCAAGCAGGAGGAACUUGUCCAGUGAGAAGGUUUCCGGUCAAGAAUCUAUCAUAAAAGAAUAUCAAGGUAUUAGUAUGCAAAGCUUCAUGUUUAGGUUGAGUUUAAUCCUCAGGAACCAAGUAGGAUUAUUUAACUAUCCAGCAUAAUGAAAGUUCAAACUAAACCUAUAGGCGUAAAGAAGCCAACAAAUGUGAUUAAAAGUAUACCACCAAAAGAAACUGGGCUAAGUAACUACGAUGAAUUUCAUACAUGAAAUUUGCAUUGCUCAUGUCAGCAUAGUUACUCGGGAUUGUUCCUCUUAAUCUGUUAAAGCUGAGGUCUCUGAAAAAGAUAUCAUAUCACAUUGAGAUUGAGUUAAAAUUCUAGGGGGAAAAUUUGUCAUAGAAAAAAAUUCCUGUAAUUUGGAAAACUCGACACAAAAAUGCCAAUGGUUGUAAAACAAGUUAAACUUAACAAAAGAAACUUUGAUGGUUAGCUAUAGUAAAAAAAAAUGUAGCAAGUAUGAAUAUUACAUGUGUUUUAAUGUUUUAAUAGUCACAAGAUUUUCAGGUAGUGUACCGUUGAUUGCAAUUUCUCAAAAUCCAGCGAAACAAUAAGAUAGAUAACGAUAUAAAUUAGUGUCUUUCUUGCUUUAUUUAUUUUUUCAUUUGCGUACAUACUGUUUUUGGUUCUUUAACUCUUUUAUUGGGUUAAAUUGGAUCUCUAAUUCUAUAAUUUGAACCAAGUUGCUCUUUUCAAUUGCAAGAUCUAAAAACCCUUUUUCUGACGUAAAGAAAAAUCCAUAUCUUUUUGGUGUAAAUGGAGGGUUUGUGGUUCUUAAAAAAAUACAUUAACUUGCACCUCAUAAAAAGUGAAUUACAUCAACUUGCUUAUGGGAUUGGAAUUUAGAACUUAGUAAGUUGGAAUUAGGAAUCACAUUAACUUGUAUUUAUAGCAAAUACACUAUAAAUACAGUAUUGAGAAGUCUGAUUAGACACACAAAAAUUACAUAAAUUUACAAGGUAUGUGUAGUGGUUAGUUCCUAGAGGAGGUGGGUAUUGUCAUGGUAGGCGUUUUUCAUCAUGCUCUUCCUCUCACAUGACCUUAACGUCUUUCCAGUUAUGCUAUAACCAGCUGGCCCGUUUCCGGUGCGACUCAACACUGUACGCCACCACCUGCCUACGUGUAAUACAAGAGCGAGCAAGACAGACAUUUCCCCGCCGCCUAACGCAUCAAAACUUUCUUUGUGUGGGAGACCCAAGAGCCUUCCACCCCCAGCCACCAGUGCCAGUCAUUUGGUAAAUUUUUAGCAACUAUCCUCUUUUAGCCACAUCUUCCAUUUUCAGUUUUACUAUUGUACCGAUCCCUUGCAAAACAUUGGUAGGUUCUGCCAAUUAUAUAUGCAGGAGGAAGAGAACGUAGAAAUAGUCGAACCAGUUCUACCAUUGGUAGGUUCUGCCAAUUAACCGUUAUGCCAAUUAACCGUUGCUCUUUUCCAUUGCAAGAUCUAAAACCCCUUUUUCUGGCACUGGGUUCUACCAUUGGUAGGUUCUGCCAAUUAACCGUUAUGCCAUAUUAAGGCGCAAAACCGAACCAAAACCAAUCAGUUGCAGCCAAAGUAGUGAAUGUUGCUGAUAUAUUGAGGCUUUUGACACUGAAUAAUUUUUCCUUUCGACUACAGAGUAUAAUGAAAACCUCAAGCUCAAGGCACAAAAUCAAACCCCCAAACCAGUUGCUUGUGUUGUUCAUACCAGUAAUCUUGUUUCCUUAGUGUCACAUUCCACUUCACUUGGACCUUAAAGCCUUUACUCUGGCGCCUUUGAUCAUAUAUUUGGUAACAAAUUGCUUUUCUCUCAUCUCACUUACAUGUAAACGCUCCCUAGUAUGACUUUGGCAAAUGGAGCACAAACCAAAUGUGAAGGCAUUAGUCGAACUAGUCUCUUACCCACACUUAAUUUGAACUCAGUACUUUACGAUUGGAAUUUCCAUUUAGUUUAAUAUCCAUAAGUAAACUCGCUCAUAUCCUACAUGACUUUAUUACCUUUGCACUUCAAAUGCUAAAUGAGAUGACUGCUUUGCACUCCAAUGGUACUUAUGGUACUUGGGAUUUGGCAGCGUUACCUGAUGGAAAAACCACAAUAGGUUGUCGUCGGGUCAAUACAGUUAAUGUAGGGCCUGAUGGAAAUAUUGACGCGUAAAAUCACGCCUUACGGAAAAAGGACACACACAGAUCUUUGGCCUUGAAUAUGGGGGCACUUUUUCUCCAGUUGCCAAGAUUGCAUCCAUUCACUUAUUUCUUGCCAUAUAGUCGAUAUUAAUCGAUGGCCUCUCCAUCAAUUAGACAUCAUAAAUUCCCUUUCAUGGUGAGUUAUAAGAGGAGGUGUGUAUAUGGCACAACCGUCUGGUUUUACUGUUAGUGGUUCCUCUCAGUUGGUCUCUCGGCUGCGUUUAUAUCUAUAUGGCUUUACACAAUCUCCAUGUGCUUGGUUUGGGAAAUUUAGCACUAUGUUCCAAGUGUAUGGCAUGAGCAGAUGUGAAACUGAUUAUUCUAUCUUCUGGAAUUCUUCAGCGACCACCUGCCUCUAUUUUCUUGUCUAUGUCAAUGACAUCAUUAUCAAAGGGUAAUGAUCAGGUUGCCCUUCAUCGGCUCAAACAAGAUUUAUAUCUUCACUUUCAAACUAAAUAUUUGGGGCCCCUAAAUAUUUACAGUGACAAGGCAUGAUGAUAUUACAUUUGUUGUCAGCUUAGUAAGCCAAUUUAUGUCAGCUUAGAAUAGGCCAAUUUCUGUCAGCUUAGAAAAUUUCUAAACUUCGGUGUUACGCUGUAGAAAUUUUCUGAAUCCUCCAUGUGAAGUCAUUAGAAUGUUUUGAUUCACAUUCUUAGGUAUAUCAUGAGUACAUUAGGUAGAGGAUUACUUUAUGAAGGCAGGGGUAACACUGAAGUUGUUGGCCACUUUGAUGCUGAUUGGACAGGUUCACCAUCAGAAUAGACGAUGUAACUUCUGGAUAUUCUGUCCUUGAUAGAGGUAGAUUGAUAUCAUCGCGGAGCAAGAAGCAAUACAUAGUUUCAACUUCGAGUGCAGAAUCAGAGUAUCUUGCUAUGGUAGCAACAUCUUGUGAACUUACAUGGCUAAGACAAUUACUCUAGGCUCUUGCAACUAAAGUUAAGAGAUAUCAAGGCAAUGAAACUAAUUUCUGAUAACCUGGCUGCACUUCAUAUUGCUUCCAAUCCAGUACUCCAUGAGAGAAGGAAGAACGUAGACAUUGACUGCCACUUUUUAAGAGACAAGGUUUGUUCACGAGAAAUUGUAAUUGAUUUUAUUUGUUCAACUAGCCGAUAUAUUUACUAAGUCUCUUAGAGGAUCUCGGGUUGAACCUAUUUGUAACAAGCUUGGUGCAUAUGAUAUGUAUGCUCCAUCUUGAGGGGGAGUGAUAAAAUUAAUCACAUAAAAAAUAUGUUCUUAUAAUUAGUUUCAAAGAAUUAGAAACUUGAUGAAUUGGAAUUAGGAAUUACAUUAACUUGUAUUUAAGCCUUUUAUUUACUGUUUCUUAAAGAGGUAGAGAAAUCAACUCGCAGUCUAUUUAACAAUGUCAUGUUGUUAAGUUGUGGCAAAGGUGCAUACUCAGAUCCAUUCAAAUCACUGAUUCUCCUGAAUAUCACAUUUGAUUUAAAGCUAAGUAAACAUAAUUAAAAUGAAAGUUAAACUCCAACCCUUGUUUCAUCAGUGUAUAAAAUAUCAUACAUACAAGUCAAUUAAGUUUCUCAAAAGUGAAAUUUCAGAAGGAAUCGGCCCAAUUAAUCCACUCCCUUGAAUGGUUCUGUCAAAAGUAAAGUUAUCAUUGGUAAUUAUUUUUACAAAGUCAAGCAAUUUGAAAAACAAUUAAAUUUGAAGAAAGAUGAACAUGAAAAAUUAAGGAGUACAUACAGUGUGUUGAUAUUUGUCCAGUUUUGAAUAAACUUAGGUAUCUUUCCAAGCAACUGGUUGUCUGAAAUUCGGCUGCAUUGAGAGAGGACAUGGAAAUUUGAAGCAUCAUAAAAUUUAUUUUUUUAUUUUCUAAUCAGUAAAUAUCAAAUUUGAUGCUUACAAAUCUCGCAAUGUAGUGACCUUGGACAAUGUUGUAGGUAGUUCUCUAGUAAAAUUGUUAGAGGACAUUUUCCUAUAUAUAAUUGAAAAACAAAACAGUAAAUUAUGAUUCUAAGCCAUAGAAAUCAAGCUGGUCUUUAAACACAGGGCUUUAAUAUAUAUGAAGGGAGAACAUCAAUCGGGGGAGUACUUACAGUGUUCGAUAAAGUUAAGUUCUACUAAAAUUAUUUGUAUUGAACAUAUACAUGUUUAUGGACUAGUGAAAUUAAUUAAUUUUUUCGCUAAGUAGGCUAAUGAGUAACUCACAAAUGCAUCAGAGUAGAUAUAUUUGCAAUCUCCGCUGGUACUGAACCCCGUUAAUCGAUUUCCAGAGAGAGUACUAUGAUGAUUAAGAAACAUUUUCUUAUUAGUUUAUUAUUCUAUGUAAUUACAACAGUUAAUUAAGGCAACGUCUUAUAAAGAGUGAAAAUAAGAAUAUUCAAUGAUUAAAAACCAAAAAGCAAAACAUAGCCUUAUUAUAUGAGUGCCGGAUUUGAAAUGAUGCAAUAUAUACAAGACUAUCAAGACAAGAUUAUAAGAAUAACGUGGGUACAUAAAUUUUGACACACAUUCAAAAUCAUCUAAUCAAAAUAAGAAGGACACUCUAACAGUAGAUUGUCGCAUUGAUGAUGAGAGAUAGAUUUAAAGGAGGAAACUGACAUAGAAAGACUCAGAAAAAGCAUAUAUAUAUAUAUAGAUGUAGAUGUAGACCCCAUUCCCAGCUAGGAAUUUUGAGAAACACACAAACGACAUAACAAAUUAUUGUUCAAAAACAGUAAACGUGUUAAUUAUGGUUUCUUUUACUCUGAAAUGUCUUCCGUAUAAUUAAUGUUCUUCGUAGAAGUUGUAUCUGUAUUCAAUAUGUGUAUUUUUUUUAGUGUAAACUCUAUUAAUUACGGCUAUUCAUCUCUUGAGUUUUUUGGGACAUGAAUGCGCAGCAAAUUUUUCUUCAGAGUUUUAAGUUGUGGUAUGUUUAAAGUUGGAUUCAAAUCAGACUUUACUUAAGAUAAGAGAGAUAUGUGUCGUCUUUAUAUAAACGCUCCUGCCUAUACUCAAUAUGUAUAUAUUUACAUUCCAAAUUUCAGCAAUUUUUUUUUUUGGCUAAAAUAUGGUUCUAGUCCCUGCAAAUAUGCAUCGUUUUAGUUUUAGUCCCUGUAAAAUAAAAAUUUCGUUUUUGGUCCCUGGAGGGACUAUUUUCAAAAACAAAAAAAUUUGCUGGGACCUUUUUAAAAAACAAAAUAUUGUGCAGGGACCAAAAACUACAAAAUGGGCCAGUCAUCAUGUGCCACGUAUGCAAAUCAUCACAAAAAUGGGGUCAGCGACUAUUUUAAAAAACAAAAAAUUUUGCAGGGACCAAAAACAAAAAUUUUAUUUUACAGGGACUAAAACUAAAACGAGGCAUAUUUGCAAGGACUAAAACUAUAUUUUAGCCUUUUUUUGGUCUAUUAAAGAGUUUUUUUCUUUUUUCUUUUUUCUGAAUCAAAAGUAAAGGAAGACAUCAGGAGAUAGCUUGACAUCCCAACUAUGUUGGAAGCCCAAGGCUACCCCAUCCUCUACCACCUUGCUUAAAAAAGAGAAAAUUGUACAAGAGGGGACCAAACCAAAACCCUCGGAAAAAACAUACUAUAAAAAUCCAAAAUACAAAGCAAGAGACCUAAGGAAAACGGAAACUAGGAAGUCCGUAUUUGACUCUAAAAGUUAUCUCUAAUAAAUGUGCGGAGAGAGUCUCACCAAAUAACAUCAGCCAAGUCGUAACCAUAAUUUGCUAACUUAUCCGCACAACAAUUUCCUUCGCGAAAAAUAUGAGAUGAAAUGAUGGAAAUGCCUCCAUGCGUACAAUUAUGUGUUGUUUUUGGAUUUCCAAAAUGUUGUAAUUGAAUUUCCAAAUUCUAUUAUCUACCGAAGUUGUUACUAGGUUGAGUCACGACCAGGUCGCUCUCUUUAAGACGUUUCAUGCCACUGCCCAAAAUUGUGCAAGGCAGACUAUCAACCACGCCACCUCCAGGAUAAAACAAGCCCAACUACAACUGUGCGAUUAACUACUGCACUUAGAAAACCGUUCGAGAAUUACACCCUCAAAUAUGGUACUAAGACCACUAUUUAAUACUGAAACCACUUUAAUAUGGUAUUGUUACCACUCUAUUAUGGUGUUGCCACCGUUCUACAACCACUCAAAUAUGGUGUUGUCACCAUUCUAACUUUAAUUUCUCCAAAACAUCAAUAUGGCACUACGACCACUCAAAUAUGGUGAUACCACCAUUUCUCCUCAAAUAGAAACAUAUUGAAAUACUUUUUAUAUAUACCAUUAAGAUCAUUCUUAAUUCUGACGGGACAUUGUUAUUCCAAAUAGGGACUAUGAUCUUAAAAGUACUUUUUAUUUCGAAGGGACAUAUAUUAUCGAAGGAACUAUGUUUUAAGACCAUUCUUAAUUCCGAAGGGACAUUGAACCGAAACAGGGACUAUGGUCUUAAGAACACUCUUAAUUUCGAAGGGACAAAAAAAGGAGAUGAAGAGAAGAAAGACUUGUCAACACAAGUCAAAAAAGGGAGAAGAGAGAAAGAGUUCCCGACAACUCAAUGAAACUCUUUGGUGUGAUUUUUGAACUAGGUGAGCUCUCCUUUUAUAGGGAGAGUUUGUAACUAAUUUGGAGAAACUUAAGAAUUAAGUAAACUUAAAAAUUAAGCAACCCAUAUUAGCUCAAGUAACAAACUAAUCGGAUAAGUUCAAAAAGAAACAAAUGUUGGAACAAAAUGUGUUUAACAUCAAACCUUAAGAGUUUUGAUGAUAACAAAGUAUUAAAAAUUGUCAAUUGGAUAUGCUAAUAUUUGUUCAAGCGUACAUGACUAUAGACAAAACUUGAUAUCUUAAAAAGGUCCUGGAAGAACAAUAAAGAGCAAAGGCAUCAACAAAAAGAGAAGCUUAACGCGCCUGAAGAAAACUGCUCCUGAAGUUAAAGCGCUCCUGAUGACGUCAUCAUAAGCAAGUUCAUCAUAAGCUAGUUCAUCAGAAGCAAGUUUAUCAGAAGCUGUGAAUCACCAGAAGCUGCAGUUCAUCAGGAGAUGCAACUUAAAGUUUCAAAAAGUUGUUCAACGGAUUCAAACUCGCCUAAAGAUUGCAGAAGACUAGAGAAGUGAAGCAACGACUAUUUUGGAGGGUUUUGAAAGCAUUGGAUGCUUGUUCUUCAAAGAGCGUUGACAAAGUAUGUUCGAACGAAGUGUACAACCACUACCUCCACUACUCUGUUUUGUCUCUGCUACAAGACAAGAAAAACAGCUAUGCCUGCAACAAUGUUCCUACACAUUGGGAACACGUUUGAAAUUGAUCCUUCAUAGGACAAUAACCAAAUCAGGCAAAGGAUCAUUAGUGAUUGAUCAAAAGUUUCAAACGACUCUAUUUUGAAUGUGCUGGCAAUUCAACGUCUCUCACACACUUCUAUUUAAAGGAGUUAAGACUCAGAGUUCCGAGAACAAUACCAAGAAUUAAAAGCGCCAAAACUCUGCUGAAAUUGUUUUGCAUUCAAGGUUCACUUAGAAUUUCUUAUCAAAGCUCAUAUCUUAGAAAUUCUAGACUCUUUAGAGUCUGUAUCUGAAUUGUAUUGUGAACACCACUGAUUGUAUAUCAAGUGUUCAAACUCAAACAUAAUCUUUGUAAUUCUGUUUUAAUUGAGAAGUCUCUUGCAGUUGUGCUUGAGCAAUAGAAGUCUCUUGAUUGUGUUUAGGAGCAUAGGAAGUCUCUUGCAGUUGUGAUUGAGCAUUUGAAGUCUCGUACUAAGUUUAGUAUUGAACAAUUGUAAUCAGAUAUUAUUUUUAGUGAACUUCUCUUGGAAGUGCAAGGGGGAUAGGACUGACUUCCCGUUUGUGGAAGGAACCUGUAUAAAUUGCUUUGUGUCUUUCUUUCUUCUCUCUCUCUCUCUCUCUGUUUUUAUCCGCUGCAAUUAGUUCUGAACAUCACUUAUGAAGUAAAACUUUAUCUGCUUCUAAACAGUGUUUUCAGAUAGGAGAAAAAGAAGAAAAAACAAACACAAUUCAACCCCCCUUCUUGUGUUUUUCUCACCUUCAACAAACCCACAAGAUUAGAUGAAACAAACUAAUGAAAGAAAGAUAAGAAAUUCAGUUGGAUUCUCAAUCUUAUCACAACAAACAUAACCUAAAAUUGUGAGAAGUGAUAUCCAUGAAUAAAGAAUAAUAAUAAUAAUAAUUUUCAUCAUUAUCAUGUAUUUAAAAUUAAAUACCACUAUUUAAACACUACUAACGUGUUUGUUCUAUUUUACGUGGGACCUCCACACUCUAUUUUUUCAAUUCACACAACACUAGAUCAAAGUUUAAUAACUUGGUGUUUAAUCUUCCAACCUUCCAAUUUCUUUCCAUCUUCACACCAAUGUUCCAACACAUGUUUCGAAGAGAAAAUGGAACUAACGAAGGGUUCCCGAAAGCCUGCAAAGCACUCCAGGAGUCCCCUCCACCCUAAGAUGCCGCCAAUGGUACUUAAUGGAAAAUUCCAGAGCCAACACAAAUCCAAAUAACUAGACCUCUCAAAAACCGAAUUUUGACCCAAGUUGCAAGAAAAACAACCCAAAAAAAUCCUCGAUAUUCAUGAAAAAUACUACCACAAGCAGCUAAGCCAUACAACUGAACCAACCUUAUUUACCUUAACAAAAGGCAAAGUGGGAGCUUUUCAAACGACAAUAAUAAUAGCAGCAACAAUGGUAUGAAUAGAGUAAACAACAGCCGAAAAUAUCAUGAAUUUGAGAACAGCAUGUAAGACCCGUAAUUUUGAUGCGACUAAAUUUAGGGCUUUGUAUUUGUUUUGAUGUUUUUUUUUUUGUUAAUAAAUGAGUUUAUGAAAUGUCUUGACGUUGUCGGAAUUCCAAAAUUUGUUUUCUAUUGAUUUUGAGAAAACAUGUUGGAAGUAUUUGUUGUUUAAAUUUUGAAUGGACCAAGAGCGUCAUGAAAAUUUAAACAAGAGUUUUACACAUUGCUCGUAUGGGUAGAUGAUCUCAUUAUAUUUCUCCAAAUUUUUGAAACAAGAUUUUUGUUGGAAAGUUAUUUUGAUUUCAAAACCAUUACUUGAAAUGAGAAACUCGUUGAGCAAUUUAACUACGUGAGAUCUAGAAUUGAUUCACAUAUGCCGUUUGCUACUCUGUGUGACUGAUUUUGACAUUCAGAAUGUUUGUUAGGCAUGAAAAUGUAAUAUCCCGCAUGUGAGAUUAAGUCACAUAUCGAUACAAGUUAUUUUAUCCUUGGAACUUUCAUGAUCGAAUUAUAUGAUUACAACGGAUUACGGAGAAUGAAAUAUGCCGCUUAAAGUUUUUACAGUAUUUUUUUUAUCAGAUAAAUUAAGUUAAGAAGACCUAGAAGGGGUAAAAUGGUCAUUUCCCAUAAGUGGGGUAUAUAUAAGACAAAAUAUCCAAAAAAGUUUCCACACUUUUCUACCACAUUCUCUCACCCAAAAUCAGAUUUUUCUUCCUCCUUCUCCUAACAUCACGCUAUCUCCCUCUUUCUCAUGCUAUCCACCAAAAAUCAGCACUUCACCAUGGAAUCAUCAUGCUUAUGUGUUUUGCUUGAGUUAUGGAAGAAGUAGAACCUCUAAACAACUUGUUCUCUCAUUCUUCCUCUCCUAAGAAGUUCAUUCAAGUGAUCCUAGCAUGGUUUGAAGAAGUUAGAGCUAAGAUGGUGAUCAUGUAAAGAGAAUUGAAGUUUGUGUUGUAUUUUGAGCUAGAGGCAAGCUUGAGCAAGAUUAAGGCAAGACACCAAGAGCUAGGGUUUGGCUUGGCAAGAAGAUAGAGGCAGGGGCUGAAUGUUGAAACUGAAUGUAAGUAUAAGUGAUUAAUAGCUUAAAUUGAGGUAAAAGUGAUUAUUUUGAGAAGAAAUUUAAGUUAUGUUGAUUCAUUAGAAGUAUAAGCUGUUAUUUCAUUUGGCAUUCUGUGAUGACUCUGUUUUUGGGCUGUUAGUAGUAUCAAUUUUGCUGUUGUUGCUGUUCGGAAUGAAAAGCUAGCAGUUAAAAGUCAUAAGUUGUUCCAAAAGCUAUCAGAAUUGAUUAUUGAGUUAAAACAAGUUAGAAUUUCAAUAUAAGUGUCUUAGGAGAUGUGUAAACAUGUUUGCUUUGAUUCUGGAAAAUUUGAAUUGAAAUGGAAUUGUUUAAAGGUCAUAAGCUGUCAGUUAAGCUGUUGAUUAAGUUGCUGUAACAGUGGUUCAUAGAGAUGAUUAUACAUGUUGGAACUGUUUUGUUGAAGGUUGGGUCGAAAUUGAUAUGACAAAAGUCAUAAGUUGCUAUUUAAUUCGUUUGGAUAAUAGCUUAAAUUAGAAUUUAAGUUGUUUCAGGUAUUAUCUUGUGAAGACCAGCUUAGGAGAGAUAUGUUGAAUUGGUAUAUGAGUAAUGGAAAUAUUAUAAGCUGUUCUAGUAAUGGUAAUUAAGCUGUUUUAGAAGUACUGAAUUCUGGUGCAGGGACUGAAAUGGGAAUUUUUCUAUAUGCUGAUCGAUGAAAUAGGAGUAUGUCACAAGUGGCACUACUACACAUAUGUGUUUUAGUAACAUUCAUCUUGCAACACUUGUUUAAUAGUUACUAAUAUAGAGAUUUUUCUUAACAUUUUUUAGUAAGUGUUACAUUAGUGUCACUCUUUUUCGGUGGUGUUUAUAUCAAAACACAUUCAUAUUCUACUGAAACAAAAAAAACAAAAAACAUUUCAACUCUUUUAACACACACUCUCUCUCUCUCUCUCUCGUCUUCGAGCUAACCAGAAGCAAACGUUCGAACAUGGCCUCAAAGCUAAAUGUGCGAUUACAAUCACAGGUGAAUUCACAAUUCUUCAAUUCCAAAUUCAAUUUCAUCUUCGAUUUCGAAAUUGAUUUUCAACUUCGAUUUCGUAUUUCAUUCAUCUUCGAUUUUAUUUGAAUUCGUCUUUGAUUCUGUAUACGAAUUCAUCUUUCUGUAUUCAAUUUCAUCUUCCAUUUCGUAUUUGAUUUCAUCUUCGAUUAUGUAUUUGUUUUCAUUUUUGGUUUUGCAUCUCCUUGCUUAUUUUUCUUUCACUUUGGUUUUACACGUUGAAAAGAUGGUUGAGAUGAAGUGUGAGUUUUGUAUUGUGUUGGUUUUUGUUUUGAUUUUGCUUUUGUUGUGCUUCAUGGUAGAAUGCUUGUUUUGUGUUUGAUAAAAUGCUGCAACCAAACUUUAUGACACAAUGCCUGUUUUCUGUUUGAUAAAAUGCUUCAAUCAACCUUUAUGGUACAGUGCUUAAUGUUUGUCUGAUAAAAUGCUUGAACCAAAUUUUAUUUACUUCUCUAAUCUCAGAAAUGUGAUUCUCCUGCAUCUAUGCUCUUAAAAAUGUUUUUCGAUUCUGCAAAAUGAACAGAAUUGUUUGUUCGGAAUGCGAUUAUGUGUAAAUUUUAGAUUCGAUCUUAACUAAAAUGUUGGAAACUUAGGAUUGAAGAAAUGGAUAUUAGUUCCUCAAUGAUACAGAAGUCGGUCUGUUUCCCGUCACGCACAACCAAACUAUUGCUGCUUUAGCUCCGACAGUGGGUGGCUAUCAGAGCUAUUAGAAACCUGUAAUAGUGCAAAAGUUCACUUGGCAAUGUAUGUGUUUAGUUGUUUGGCUGAUUUAUGUGUGUAUAAGCUUCCCAUUGCAUAGGAGAAAUGUAACUUUUCAUGUUUGAAGCAAUAUAAAAACUACAAGGAAUCUCCACCUUCAGAUUCAUAGGACAAAAGUUCACUACUGGAUGUAGUUGUUGAAAUUUUAUUAACUUUGAUCUUUAUGGUUCCUCACCACUAGAAAUUUUGGUGUUAGGUUAUCAUGACGAUCUGUAUCAUACCUAACGAACACGUGGACCUGUAGCAAAUAUAUGAGGCAUAUUUGGGUUAUUCUGUAUUACAAAAUGCCAAAAGCUUGUACAAAACUUGCAAAAAGAAAUAAAGAAAAGUCAAAUAUCUUCCCAUUAUUACUAUUUUUUUUUUUUUGUCUAAAUCUGUUAUGUCUUUUGUAGGUUCCAUGUUAAUAAGAUGUCUUCAGCCCAUGUUUAUGCCGGGCUGCUCAUAGGUCACUAUCGAUGACAUGAGUGAAGGUUUAUUGGAAGAUUGUGCUAAACUUGUCAAAGAAAAUUCAAUUCAAGGUAAAAUAUCGCGAUUAAUUAUUCCUAGAUUAGGAUACUGCUACUAGAGUUAUUGUCGAGGGUCUGUGGCCGGAUCAGACAAUUGUUUUCUAUCAGCAAUGUAACAUGUGGUUUACAUUUCAAGAGAUUUAUUUGAUCAAUUGUUGUUUCUCAGGAGUACAAAGGAAACAAAUAAAUAUAAAAUAAUUUGAGAGAGGUGCUAUAUGUCACGAAUACACUUCCUCACUAAUUUCACAAACUCUCUAUUUUUCUAUUUUUUAUUUUUAUACCUGAAAAUAUUUUGAAAAAUAGAACUGCUAGGGCGUAGUAUGUAUCGAUCAUCACGCAACCUCAGCUGCAUAUAUUAAAGAUCCUUAGUGUGUGUCUGCCAAAAAAUAUCACAGUUCAUGAAAACUUGGAUCCAAUGCUAUGAAGUUUGAAUUGUGAAUUUAUAAUGUUUUUUGUUUUCAGAUUUACUUCUAUGAGAAAUUACUUUUGUUUUCUUUCUGAACGUAAUUGUAUAUAUGCUCAUCAUGUUAUGUGAGCAUGACAAAUGAAUAAGUUAUUAAGCUAUUGAUUGUGGAGUGCAUUGCAUUGCUUGUCGUCGCUUUGCCAUGACUUAUAUUACUUGAACAAAUUCUUAUGUCCUACUUAUUGAAGUUCUCUUUGGUAGCAUGGGUUUUGCAUAUUUGUUGCAUACUUUUCUUUGUAGUUACUUUUCUGAAUAUAUAAAAUCAAUAAAAUCUCUGUAAAACAUCUUUAUUUAUCUGUUUUAGUAUUUUUCCCUCAUCUUUAUUUAUAUGCUGCAUUGUGGUUGUAAUGCAUUUGUUUUUCUUCUGAUAUACUGGUUUUGAUUUUGAAGUCCACCGAUGUUUGAACUAUGUUGAAUACAUUGAUUAAGAGUAUAUUUAGAACUAAUUAAGGAAGAAGUUAUAUGAGCGAUUGAGCCUUAUUCUUACAACCCUGUAGGUUUAGUUUCCCUUAGAAAGUUAUUUAUUUUGGUAGGUUAGCUGAAUGGAGGAGUUAAUACUACAAUUAACCGUGUACAAAUAUUUUGUGGUUUAUUUUAGGUUUAGUUUUUAAUAAGAUAUUAAGCAGCGGACGGAAUAAUUUCCUCAUGAGUAUAUCUUCCCCACAGAGCAAAGCAUAGCACAUCAAGAGAAAAAAAGGCAGGGACAAGGUAAAAUUUGCUAGGUCAAUAACAAAAUGGUUUNCUCAAUGAAACUCUUUGGUGUGAUUUUUGAACUAGGUGAGCUCUCCUUUUAUAGGGAGAGUUUGUAACUAAUUUGGAGAAACUUAAGAAUUAAGUAAACUUAAAAAUUAAGCAACCCAUAUUAGCUCAAGUAACAAACUAAUCGGAUAAGUUCAAAAAGAAACAAAUGUUGGAACAAAAUGUGUUUAACAUCAAACCUUAAGAGUUUUGAUGAUAACAAAGUAUUAAAAAUUGUCAAUUGGAUAUGCUAAUAUUUGUUCAAGCGUACAUGACUAUAGACAAAACUUGAUAUCUUAAAAAGGUCCUGGAAGAACAAUAAAGAGCAAAGGCAUCAACAAAAAGAGAAGCUUAACGCGCCUGAAGAAAACUGCUCCUGAAGUUAAAGCGCUCCUGAUGACGUCAUCAUAAGCAAGUUCAUCAUAAGCUAGUUCAUCAGAAGCAAGUUUAUCAGAAGCUGUGAAUCACCAGAAGCUGCAGUUCAUCAGGAGAUGCAACUUAAAGUUUCAAAAAGUUGUUCAACGGAUUCAAACUCGCCUAAAGAUUGCAGAAGACUAGAGAAGUGAAGCAACGACUAUUUUGGAGGGUUUUGAAAGCAUUGGAUGCUUGUUCUUCAAAGAGCGUUGACAAAGUAUGUUCGAACGAAGUGUACAACCACUACCUCCACUACUCUGUUUUGUCUCUGCUACAAGACAAGAAAAACAGCUAUGCCUGCAACAAUGUUCCUACACAUUGGGAACACGUUUGAAAUUGAUCCUUCAUAGGACAAUAACCAAAUCAGGCAAAGGAUCAUUAGUGAUUGAUCAAAAGUUUCAAACGACUCUAUUUUGAAUGUGCUGGCAAUUCAACGUCUCUCACACACUUCUAUUUAAAGGAGUUAAGACUCAGAGUUCCGAGAACAAUACCAAGAAUUAAAAGCGCCAAAACUCUGCUGAAAUUGUUUUGCAUUCAAGGUUCACUUAGAAUUUCUUAUCAAAGCUCAUAUCUUAGAAAUUCUAGACUCUUUAGAGUCUGUAUCUGAAUUGUAUUGUGAACACCACUGAUUGUAUAUCAAGUGUUCAAACUCAAACAUAAUCUUUGUAAUUCUGUUUUAAUUGAGAAGUCUCUUGCAGUUGUGCUUGAGCAAUAGAAGUCUCUUGAUUGUGUUUAGGAGCAUAGGAAGUCUCUUGCAGUUGUGAUUGAGCAUUUGAAGUCUCGUACUAAGUUUAGUAUUGAACAAUUGUAAUCAGAUAUUAUUUUUAGUGAACUUCUCUUGGAAGUGCAAGGGGGAUAGGACUGACUUCCCGUUUGUGGAAGGAACCUGUAUAAAUUGCUUUGUGUCUUUCUUUCUUCUCUCUCUCUCUCUCUCUGUUUUUAUCCGCUGCAAUUAGUUCUGAACAUCACUUAUGAAGUAAAACUUUAUCUGCUUCUAAACAGUGUUUUCAGAUAGGAGAAAAAGAAGAAAAAACAAACACAAUUCAACCCCCCUUCUUGUGUUUUUCUCACCUUCAACAAACCCACAAGAUUAGAUGAAACAAACUAAUGAAAGAAAGAUAAGAAAUUCAGUUGGAUUCUCAAUCUUAUCACAACAAACAUAACCUAAAAUUGUGAGAAGUGAUAUCCAUGAAUAAAGAAUAAUAAUAAUAAUAAUUUUCAUCAUUAUCAUGUAUUUAAAAUUAAAUACCACUAUUUAAACACUACUAACGUGUUUGUUCUAUUUUACGUGGGACCUCCACACUCUAUUUUUUCAAUUCACACAACACUAGAUCAAAGUUUAAUAACUUGGUGUUUAAUCUUCCAACCUUCCAAUUUCUUUCCAUCUUCACACCAAUGUUCCAACACAUGUUUCGAAGAGAAAAUGGAACUAACGAAGGGUUCCCGAAAGCCUGCAAAGCACUCCAGGAGUCCCCUCCACCCUAAGAUGCCGCCAAUGGUACUUAAUGGAAAAUUCCAGAGCCAACACAAAUCCAAAUAACUAGACCUCUCAAAAACCGAAUUUUGACCCAAGUUGCAAGAAAAACAACCCAAAAAAAUCCUCGAUAUUCAUGAAAAAUACUACCACAAGCAGCUAAGCCAUACAACUGAACCAACCUUAUUUACCUUAACAAAAGGCAAAGUGGGAGCUUUUCAAACGACAAUAAUAAUAGCAGCAACAAUGGUAUGAAUAGAGUAAACAACAGCCGAAAAUAUCAUGAAUUUGAGAACAGCAUGUAAGACCCGUAAUUUUGAUGCGACUAAAUUUAGGGCUUUGUAUUUGUUUUGAUGUUUUUUUUUUUGUUAAUAAAUGAGUUUAUGAAAUGUCUUGACGUUGUCGGAAUUCCAAAAUUUGUUUUCUAUUGAUUUUGAGAAAACAUGUUGGAAGUAUUUGUUGUUUAAAUUUUGAAUGGACCAAGAGCGUCAUGAAAAUUUAAACAAGAGUUUUACACAUUGCUCGUAUGGGUAGAUGAUCUCAUUAUAUUUCUCCAAAUUUUUGAAACAAGAUUUUUGUUGGAAAGUUAUUUUGAUUUCAAAACCAUUACUUGAAAUGAGAAACUCGUUGAGCAAUUUAACUACGUGAGAUCUAGAAUUGAUUCACAUAUGCCGUUUGCUACUCUGUGUGACUGAUUUUGACAUUCAGAAUGUUUGUUAGGCAUGAAAAUGUAAUAUCCCGCAUGUGAGAUUAAGUCACAUAUCGAUACAAGUUAUUUUAUCCUUGGAACUUUCAUGAUCGAAUUAUAUGAUUACAACGGAUUACGGAGAAUGAAAUAUGCCGCUUAAAGUUUUUACAGUAUUUUUUUUAUCAGAUAAAUUAAGUUAAGAAGACCUAGAAGGGGUAAAAUGGUCAUUUCCCAUAAGUGGGGUAUAUAUAAGACAAAAUAUCCAAAAAAGUUUCCACACUUUUCUACCACAUUCUCUCACCCAAAAUCAGAUUUUUCUUCCUCCUUCUCCUAACAUCACGCUAUCUCCCUCUUUCUCAUGCUAUCCACCAAAAAUCAGCACUUCACCAUGGAAUCAUCAUGCUUAUGUGUUUUGCUUGAGUUAUGGAAGAAGUAGAACCUCUAAACAACUUGUUCUCUCAUUCUUCCUCUCCUAAGAAGUUCAUUCAAGUGAUCCUAGCAUGGUUUGAAGAAGUUAGAGCUAAGAUGGUGAUCAUGUAAAGAGAAUUGAAGUUUGUGUUGUAUUUUGAGCUAGAGGCAAGCUUGAGCAAGAUUAAGGCAAGACACCAAGAGCUAGGGUUUGGCUUGGCAAGAAGAUAGAGGCAGGGGCUGAAUGUUGAAACUGAAUGUAAGUAUAAGUGAUUAAUAGCUUAAAUUGAGGUAAAAGUGAUUAUUUUGAGAAGAAAUUUAAGUUAUGUUGAUUCAUUAGAAGUAUAAGCUGUUAUUUCAUUUGGCAUUCUGUGAUGACUCUGUUUUUGGGCUGUUAGUAGUAUCAAUUUUGCUGUUGUUGCUGUUCGGAAUGAAAAGCUAGCAGUUAAAAGUCAUAAGUUGUUCCAAAAGCUAUCAGAAUUGAUUAUUGAGUUAAAACAAGUUAGAAUUUCAAUAUAAGUGUCUUAGGAGAUGUGUAAACAUGUUUGCUUUGAUUCUGGAAAAUUUGAAUUGAAAUGGAAUUGUUUAAAGGUCAUAAGCUGUCAGUUAAGCUGUUGAUUAAGUUGCUGUAACAGUGGUUCAUAGAGAUGAUUAUACAUGUUGGAACUGUUUUGUUGAAGGUUGGGUCGAAAUUGAUAUGACAAAAGUCAUAAGUUGCUAUUUAAUUCGUUUGGAUAAUAGCUUAAAUUAGAAUUUAAGUUGUUUCAGGUAUUAUCUUGUGAAGACCAGCUUAGGAGAGAUAUGUUGAAUUGGUAUAUGAGUAAUGGAAAUAUUAUAAGCUGUUCUAGUAAUGGUAAUUAAGCUGUUUUAGAAGUACUGAAUUCUGGUGCAGGGACUGAAAUGGGAAUUUUUCUAUAUGCUGAUCGAUGAAAUAGGAGUAUGUCACAAGUGGCACUACUACACAUAUGUGUUUUAGUAACAUUCAUCUUGCAACACUUGUUUAAUAGUUACUAAUAUAGAGAUUUUUCUUAACAUUUUUUAGUAAGUGUUACAUUAGUGUCACUCUUUUUCGGUGGUGUUUAUAUCAAAACACAUUCAUAUUCUACUGAAACAAAAAAAACAAAAAACAUUUCAACUCUUUUAACACACACACACACUCUCUCUCUCUCUCUCUCUCGUCUUCGAGCUAACCAGAAGCAAACGUUCGAACAUGGCCGCAAAGCUAAAUGUGCGAUUACAAUCACAGGUGAAUUCACAAUUCUUCAAUUCCGAAUUCAAUUUCAUCUUCGAUUUCGAAAUUGAUUUUCAACUUCGAUUUCGUAUUUCAUUCAUCUUCGAUUUUAUUUGAUUUCGUCUUUGAUUCUGUAUACGAAUUCAUCUUUCUGUAUUCAAUUUCAUCUUCCAUUUCGUAUUUGAUUUCAUCUUCGAUUAUGUAUUUGUUUUCAUUUUUGGUUUCGCAUCUCCUUGCUUAUUUUUCUUUCACUUUGGUUUUACACGUUGAAAAGAUGGUUGAGAUGAAGUGUGAGUUUUGUAUUGUGUUGGUUUUUGUUUUGAUUUUGCUUUUGUUGUGCUUCAUGGUAGAAUGCUUGUUUUGUGUUUGAUAAAAUGCUGCAACCAAACUUUAUGACACAAUGCCUGUUUUCUGUUUGAUAAAAUGCUUCAAUCAACCUUUUAUGGUACAGUGCUUAAUGUUUGUCUGAUAAAAUGCUUGAACCAAAUUUUAUUUACUUCUCUAAUCUCAGAAAUGUGAUUCUCCUGCAUCUAUGCUCUUAAAAAUGUUUUUCGAUUCUGCAAAAUGAACAGAAUUGUUUGUUCGGAAUGCGAUUAUGUGUAAAUUUUAGAUUCGAUCUUAACUAAAAUGUUGGAAACUUAGGAUUGAAGAAAUGGAUAUUAGUUCCUCAAUGAUACAGAAGUCGGUCUGUUUCCCGUCACGCACAACCAAACUAUUGCUGCUUUAGCUCCGACUGUGGGUGGCUAUCAGAGCUAUUAGAAACCUGUAAUAGUGCAAAAGUUCACUUGGCAAUGUAUGUGUUUAGUUGUUUGGCUGAUUUAUGUGUGUAUAAGCUUCCCAUUGCAUAGGAGAAAUGUAACUUUUCAUGUUUGAAGCAAUAUAAAAACUACAAGGAAUCUCCACCUUCAGAUUCAUAGGACAAAAGUUCACUACUGGAUGUAGUUGUUGAAAUUUUAUUAACUUUGAUCUUUAUGGUUCCUCACCACUAGAAAUUUUGGUGUUAGGUUAUCAUGACGAUCUGUAUCAUACCUAACGAACACGUGGACCUGUAGCAAAUAUAUGAGGCAUAUUUGGGUUAUUCUGUAUUACAAACUGCCAAAAGCUUGUACAAAACUUGCAAAAAGAAAUAAAGAAAAGUCAAAUAUCUUCCCAUUAUUACUAUUUUUUUUUUUUUGUCUAAAUCUGUUAUGUCUUUUGUAGGUUCCAUGUUAAUAAGAUGUCUUCAGCCCAUGUUUAUGCCGGGCUGCUCAUAGGUCACUAUCGAUGACAUGAGUGAAGGUUUAUUGGAAGAUUGUGCUCAACUUGUCAAAGAAAAUUCAAUUCAAGGUAAAAUAUCGCGAUUAAUUAUUCCUAGUUUAGGAUACUGCUACUAGAGUUAUUGUCGAGGGUCUGUGGCCGGAUCAGACAAUUGUUUUCUAUCAGCAAUGUAACAUGUGGUUUACAUUUCAAGAGAUUUAUUUGAUCAAUUGUUGUUUCUCAGGAGUACAAAGGAAACAAAUAAAUAUAAAAUAAUUUGAGAGAGGUGCUAUAUGUCACGAAUACACUUCCUCACUAAUUUCACAAACUCUCUAUUUUUCUAUUUUUUAUUUUUAUACCUGAAAAUAUUUUGAAAAAUAGAACUGCUAGGGCGUAGUAUGUAUCGAUCAUCACGCAACCUCAGCUGCAUAUAUUAAAGAUCCUUAGUGUGUGUCUGCCAAAAAAUAUCACAGUUCAUGAAAACUUGGAUCCAAUGCUAUGAAGUUUGAAUUGUGAAUUUAUAAUGUUUUUUGUUUUCAGAUUUACUUCUAUGAGAAAUUACUUUUGUUUUCUUUCUGAACGUAAUUGUAUAUAUGCUCAUCAUGUUAUGUGUGCAUGACAAAUGAAUAAGUUAUUAAGCUAUUGAUUGUGGAGUGCAUUGCAUUGCUUGUCGUCGCUUUGCCAUGACUUAUAUUACUUGAACAAAUUCUUAUGUCCUACUUAUUGAAGUUCUCUUUGGUAGCAUGGGUUUUGCAUAUUUGUUGCAUACUUUUCUUUGUAGUUACUUUUCUGAAUAUAUAAAAUCAAUAAAAUCUCUGUAAAACAUCUUUAUUUAUCUGUUUUAGUAUUUUUCCCUCAUCUUUAUUUAUAUGCUGCAUUGUGGUUGUAAUGCAUUUGUUUUUCUUCUGAUAUACUGGUUUUGAUUUUGAAGUCCACCGAUGUUUGAACUAUGUUGAAUACAUUGAUUAAGAGUAUAUUUAGAACUAAUUAAGGAAGAAGUUAUAUGAGCGAUUGAGCCUUAUUCUUACAACCCUGUAGGUUUAGUUUCCCUUAGAAAGUUAUUUAUUUUGGUAGGUUAGCUGAAUGGAGGAGUUAAUACUACAGUUAACCGUGUACAAAUAUUUUGUGGUUUAUUUUAGGUUUAGUUUUUAAUAAGAUAUUAAGCAGCGGACGGAAUAAUUUCCUCAUGAGUAUAUCUUCCCCACAGAGCAAAGCAUAGCACAUCAAGAGAAAAAAAGGCAGGGACAAGGUAAAAUUUGCUAGGUCAAUAACAAAAUGGUUUAAAGGGGACCUUAAUGGAGCACAAGAAUCUGCAAUUGGCUGCCGUUGUUAAGCUUUCAUUUGGUUAUCUCUACUUUGACAAUGAUUUCUUCACGUUUCCUUGUCUUUUUUGUGGAUUUAGUUUUCUCGUUCCUUUCUGACUCCCUGUGUUCGUAACUGGGGUUUUUUGUUGUGAAAUUUUCUCAGCUCUUGUUACAGCGGAUAUGAUAUACUGUGAUUUUAAAGCUGCAGCUAACCUUAAUAUUACGAACAUGCGGACCCUUGGAUUUUACGGUUCAUUUUCUUGCCUUGAAUGCACUUGUUCUGGAAAAUAGGUGUCCUUUGGCAUUGUAAUGUGUCAUUGUUUAGAAUUAUUAAACUAAAUAUUAGGAGAGCUUCAACAAUAUUUAUGAUUCUGUCCAUCUUUCUUGGAUAAUCAAGAGAUACACUUCUGUUUUGCAGAGGGCUAAAGUUUGGAUAUCUACAACGUUUGGAGAUACACUACUAUUCCAGAUAUAUCAAAGUCGUUCUUUACUUUUUAAGUUUUGGGCUUUGUUCUUAAGACAUGCUGCAGAUUGGAUUGUGAAUCUAUUUUUCUGUUCAAUAUUUCUGUUGAUUAUGAGUAUUUCUUGAUUUCUUAUUUUCCUGUUUGGUGCUCCAAGAGAGGUGAUCUAUUAAUGUUGAGUAUUCCUUCUGGUUAGUUUUGUCUCUUGAUGUUGUGGUUUGAUUUAGUUCUUGCUGGUGUUGGUCUUAGUGGUUGCUGUACUUAUUUUAAUGAUCAUCACAAAUAAUGAAUUGUUAGUUAAUUGUCAUUCUGAUUCUUGUCUGCAAAAUAUAGAAUUCUUCAGUUGUGGUUCAUUAUUAUUUUUAUUUUUAGGAUUUGUUUGCAAAACACUAGAAUUGAAAUGUUAUUCAUGUGACACCUUAAGAUUAGUGGCCACUAGCUAGGAAGACAUCCUCCACUGAAUCUAUGACCACCACCAAGUUCCUUUAAAUGUGUUCCCAGUGCCAUAUAUACUUUUCUAUCACUGUACAAUGUCUGAAUUGAUAUAUGAUUUGAAUUAUAAGAUUAUCUUUAUUAGAGUUAAACUCCUAUCAUGCUCAGAUACAAAAGCUCGUGUAAUUUGGGGAGUUUAUUCUAAUUGAGUUCUGUCUCCACUAUCUAUGAAGUCUUUGUUGAAUGCAAAUUCCCCUGCUGUUGUUUAUUCUAAUUGAAUUGUGAAUUCUAAGAUUAUCUCUAUUAGCUAUUACACUUGUUUUUCUUAGUAUCCUUGUUGAGCAUGGUAUCAACGUUGCAGCUUGGUAAGUUUCAAUUGAUAAUGAUUUUCAUGACAGAAUCGUCCUUUGCAUUAAAAUUGUUGCACAAUACUGGUGAUGAGAUAAGGAAGGGAUGUCUGCAAUCUUGCUGGCAGAACAUUAUGAAGAUGAUUGCGGAUAAGCAACGGCACAAGACAAAGGAGAUUAAAGAGAAGGCUUGCAUUUCUCAUGUGCAGCUUGAUGACCUUAAAGAGAAGGGGGGAAAUUGUGUUGGAUGAAAACUUAAUUGUAAUCAUUUUUGUAUGUAAUUCAAAUUGUGUUGUAUAGUUCAAAUUGUGUUGCAUAGUUUAUUUUCGUCAUGCAAGAAUAAGAACAGAGAAGAGGGGAACUUUUAUAGAGUAUGUAAUUCAAACUAGUUAUUAAAACUUGUAUCUAAUAUUGGUUAAUUCAAAUAUGAAUGAAGUCUAAACUUGUAUCUAAAAUUAGUUUAGACAAUUUUGCGACAUUUUUUACAACUCCUCAAAAAUUAUAAAUGUAACACUUUUUUAUUGUUACAAGUGAUACAAAAAGUGUUACAAUAAGGUACCAUUUGCAACACUUUUUGAUUGUUACAGAUAGUACUAUAAAAUGUAACUAAAACACUUUAGUAACACGGGCUUUAUCUAACAAUUGUUCAAGUGUUGCUAAAUUUAAUUAGUAACAUUUUUCUUGAUUUAGUUACAAUUUUCAAGUGUUACUAAUUGCCAUUAGAAGUACUGAAUUCUGGUGCAGGGACUGAAAUGGGAAUUUUUCUAUAUGCUGAUCGAUGAAAUAGGAGCAUGUCACAAGUGGGUUGGGCUGUUUCGGAAAAGGCAAGACCUACAAGUCAAGGCAUAAGCUAUUUUGGAAAAGCGAUUAUAGAGUUUUGGAGAUAGCAGAAGUUGGAGAUUUUGGAUAAGUUGCUUUGCAAUUUUUGGGAGUAAUUCAAGGUGAGUUCCUUAGUUAGUUAACUCUCCCUUUGGGUAGUUUGAAUCAUGUCAUUGAAAUGGUGCUAUUUCCUUUUACUCAAUACAAUUGAGGUUUUAAUGGUUAUGCAAAUUCAUGAUAAUGUGAAUGAAAUUGUAUAUGAUAUGAAUGUUAUGAAAGUAUUUGUAACACCCCGUUUUCCCAACGUAAAAAUUUCAUUUAAUUAAUCAGAGUAUUCACAUUAACGGAAUAUCACGUUCUUUUCUUAAAAUCAUAAACUGAAUAAAUAACUAUUUAUCCUUUAAAAUUCAAUAACAAAAUCUUUAAUAUUUCGCAGCGGAGUUUAUUCAGUAACUAAAAACAGUAUUUGGCACUAAGGCCUCUUUAUAAAUGUUCUCAUAAAAAUCAAAUCUAAAAACAUAGUCAUAAAUCUUCAGAAUCAAUACGUAAGGAAUAGAAAAGUAAUAACAAAGUCCUCAUCCCGUUACGUAUCAGAGCACCUAAGACACUUGAGCCACCACUCCUACUAAUCAUUAAUACCUGCAAGUUACUCAUACGAAGAGCAACAUUUCCAAGCAGAAGGGGUGAGAUUUCACAAAACAAUAAUAUCAAGCAUAUAAUUCAAUAAUUAUAUUUAACAACAUAAAUAACUUCAUCUAUUAGUAAUAAUAAUUCUUCAUGUAAUAAUUCUUAAUAGUUCAAUCAUCUUCUAAUUAUCAUUUACUUCAUAUUCAUCAUAUAACACAUAUUAACCAAAUCGUAACAAACAUAGAUCAUCACAUCAUAGUCAUAGUUCAUAUAUAGUAUAACAACAUCUUAAUCCUAAUUCAUAUACAACAUAACAACAUCAUUAAUUCAUAAUAAUAAUUAUUCAUCAAACAUCUCUUUAUCAAUUCAUGAAUAAAAGACAGCUUAUCAACUUAACAUAUACAUCAUCAAGUACACCUAACAACUCAUAGAUAUCUUCAUGUAAUCAUCAUCACUAAUAACUUUAAAACAACACAAUGUAAUCAAUAUCUCACUAUAAUAAUAAUCAUAUACGACACAACAUAAUUAUCGCUUAAUAAUAAUAAUCAUAUACAAUACAACAUAAAUCAUCAUCUCAUAAUGAUAUGAACAACACAUAUUAAUCAUCUUAUAUUAAUAUAACAACAUAUACAUCGUCUUGUCAUAAUAUAAUAAUAUAACAACAACAUAUUCAUCUUCUUGUAUUAAUAUAACAAUAACGUAUUCAUCAUCUUAUAAAAUAUAACAACAACAUAACAUAAUAUUCACUUAAUAAUAAUUAAUCAUAUAUGGUACAACAUAAUCAUCACUUAAUAAUGACAAUUAUAUACAUCACAACAUAUAGCAUCAUAAAUACAUCACAUAAUCAACAUCGUAAACAUCAUCAUAACAUUAUAAUCAGUAUCAUAUACAAUAUCAUAACAACAUAACAAUAUCAUAAUCAAUAUCUUAAACAACAUAGCAACAUCUUAGUCAACUUUAUAUAGUUCACAUCAUAAACAUCGUAUAAUCUUCAUAGGUACUUCUUUAACAACACAUGGGUAGAAGACAACUCGACAACUCAUAGAUGAUAAUUCAUCACAACUUAACAACUCAUGGAUGAUAAUUCAUCAACAACGACUUUGACUCGACAAAUGCGACAAUGCAACUUAGACACUUAUAUGCAUGUGGUACCAAUCGUCAUCAUAAGUAUUAAUAUACUUUAAUCGUGCGGAGGACAAAGCUUCUAAUCGUGCGGAGGACAAAGCUUCUAAUCAUGGUGAGGACAAAGCUCAAUGAAUGCUAAUGCAUGGACUCUAUCAACAAGACGCCUUAAUCAACUUAUCACUUAUACAUCCAAUAAUUUGGAGUUCAUCAUCAACUUAUUCAUACUCAUGCAACUUAGUUAAAUAAUAAUUGCAGCAUAAUCAAAUCACAUCAAGCUUAAUAACAAUUCAUUUCAACAACAUCUUGAUCAUUCAAUAAUAUUUCGAGUAAUGCAUUUAAUCAUGAAAUCACAUUACAAACAACUUAGCAGUUCAUAACAGCAACAGAAACAGCACAAGUAAUUCACAACAUAACAAUAUUAGUGUGAAGCAUUAACAACUUAAACAUCAUACAUCUUCCACAUAAGGCAUAUAAAUAUUUCACAUAACCAACAACAGCAACAUAGGCGACACGUAAACAUCUCAAGAUAUAACAAUAUCAAAUGAUAAUCAACAACAACUUAAACAUCAUAUAUAAUUCACAUAAUGCAUAUACAAAUAUAUUACAUUACUAUCAACACUAAUUCAUAUUAUAAUAGCUUCACAAAUCAUCAAUAAUAUUAUAUUCAACCCACAUUCCUACCCCAACACUAAAUCAUAUUAUUAUACUCUUAAACACCUUAAUUGAACUCAUAGAACUUCUAGUUUUGAGGGUUGGUAUUAUCCUAUAAGUUUUGGAUUAACUUAGAAAUGGUUAUGCUGAAUUUUCAUAAGAUUUCACUGUGACCUACGUGCAGUAAUUUGACCAUAACUCAAGUUCUAUAAAUCGUUUUGACGUCAAUACCAGUUUCGUGUUUACAACUUUCGUGUUUACACCUAAGAUCAAUUCUGUACCAAUCAAUACCAGUUUUCAUUUCAAAUUCGGACAAAGUUGUGCUGAAAUUCAUAAAAAUUUACUAAGACCUCCUUGGAGUAUUUUCAUCAUAUCUCAAACACCAAAAAUCAUUUUCAUGUCAAACCAAAGCCACUGAAAAGCUAACACAAUUAUCUACAACUUUUAUGUUUACACCAAAGGCCAAUUCAAAACAGAAACGUGUGAAAAAAACGCAAGAAUGCGGAACAGAGAAUGCUGUCAAAGUGUAGCUCGCGAGGCGAGUAAGUGUACUCGCUGUGGCGAGUUGCGACGGACAAAUCUACGGGAACAGACCAGUUUUCACUCCAAAAGCCCCAAUUUCAUCAACCCAAAUACCAAAUUUGAUAGGAAACUCAACCUAUGUUUAUUCUAUAGCCUGAACUUCAAUUCUUAACACAAUUUCGAUGGUUUCUACACUUUUCAAUUCAAAAAUCAAUAAUCAAAACCUAAUCCCAAUUAUACAACCUAAGAACAACAACAUGUUAAAUCACAAAUUCAAAAUCAUAGGCUUAAGAAGAUUGAAUGUUAGUCUCACCCUUACCUUAAAGAAUGAAAAUCGCAGCCUCUAGGUCUUCUCCCUCUUCUCUUGGCUUUUUCCUCCUUUUUUCAAAAACAGUCGUACGUGCAAUUGUUUUUCUAAAACUAGGUUUUCUGUCCUUUUUAUAAAAAUCUUAACCUACUUAUUUUUCUCUUAAAUCCCAAUCUUAAUAUUCUAUCCCAAUAUAUAUAUAUAUAUAUAUAUAUAUAUAUAUAUAUAUAUAUAUAUAUUUUCCAUAACAAAUCAUUUAUACUUCUAUAACAAAUGACAUAUAUUUCUAUAACAAAUCAUAUAUAUUUCUAUAACAAAUCAUAUAUAUUUCUACAACAAAUAACAUUUAUAUUUCUAAAUCAAAUAAUAUAUAUAUAUAUAUAUAUAUAUAUAUAUAUUUCUAAAUCAAAUAGUAUAUAUAUUAUACUAAUAAAUACCAACAUAUAACAUAUCAAAAUAUCACUCAUCAAAAUAAAUCAUAUAAAUCACACAAAUCAUAUAAGUAUAUUCUAAACUCAUUAAAAUAAUCAAAUAAUUAGAGAGGGCGUGACAGUAUUGAUCAUGUGAAUUGGUUCUAGCAAUAAAACACUAAGCAAGACAAUUGAUUUAUAUACUUAUAUAAAUUAUUUGAAAGAAAAAUUGAAAUGCGUAACAUGCUCAUAGUAAAAAAUGUGAAAACUCUGUUUGCUACAACGAAGAGAUAAUGUAGCCUAUGAGGUACGACUCAUAGUAACAAAUGUGAAAAUCCGUUUUCUACAACGAAGAGAUAAUGUAGCCUAUAGUAACAAAUGUGAAAACUCCGUUUGCUACAACGAAGAGAUAAUGUAGCCUAUAAGGUACGACUCAUAGUAAAAAAUGUGAAAACUCCGUUUGCUACAACGAAGAGAUAAUGUAGCAUAUGAGAUACGGCUCAUAGUAAAAAAUGUGAAAACUCCGUUUGCUACAACGAAGAGAUAAUGUAGCCUAUGAGGUACGGCUCAUGUAACAAGAAAAAAAAUAUUGUUCGCCACAACGAAGAGAUAUAUGCACAUAGUAAAAUGUUUAAUUAAUGACUUGAACUUUUAGUUAAGAAUUGUGAUUAUGAUCAAUAUGAGUAUGUGUAUAAAUAAGAAUAUGACAUUAUGACAAAAUCAUGAUAGUAUUCUUCGUAGCGAUCUUAGUUAUCCGCGAUCGCUCAGUUAUGUAUGAUAAAGACUGUAUAAACCCGAAAUGGGUUGUGUUUAGAACAUAUGGCGAUCCUAGGUUCUCUGAGAUUGCCUACAACCUAGGAUAGGUGGAACUCACUGAGACAUCCUGUCUCACCCCAAUCCUUUUUACUUAUUUCAGAUAUUCAAGUUACUAGAUGACACAAUGGUUCGUGAUGAAGAAGCAGAAGUCGCUGGACCAUAUAAAGUUCACGUCAGUGGUAUUAUUUCAGAGUUAUAAGACGAGAACUUCCAUAUCUUAUUCAGAGGAAGUUUUGAUUAUUCUAAUUUUAAUGUAUCCAAUGCCAACUUUAACACAAAUGCUAGAUAAAUCCUAGGUAAUUUCUAGUAGGGGUGUUACAGUAAACAUGGAAUAUGUUUUUGUGACUUGCAUGAUUUUGUGCUUUCUUAAUCUUGUUGAACCUUUUUGUGAGGUUUGGACUUUCGGGUAGAAUCAAUUAUAUUAAUGAAUCUUGAGAGUCAUUAUAUUCAUUCAGGGAAUUUAUAUUCCGUCGAGAUGAUUUUUGGGAAUUUAAUAAUAUUAGACCGGCGACUUGAGUAAAUCUUAGAAAAAGAAAAUAUUAGAGAUGACUAGUGGUUUUUGAAUAAGGAGACAAUUCUAAGAUGUUUGGGACCGAUUAGAAGUCCAUCUGAGUUAGAUAGAACUUUAUCAGUUAUGUGUACCUUAAAACCGUGAAAUACGAUUUCAGUUUAUUUCCAAAAUCAAAACACUAUAUAUAGUAAGUUUGUGGUCCAAAACUCAUUAAUCAACAAAUUUACUCUAUUCUCUAUCCAAACCCGUAAGCCACCCUCCCUCCUCCAUCUUCAUCUUGUUUUGGAUGUAACUUCUUCGUUCCUUAUCCGAAUCGCGCAAACGAGAUAUCAAAACGAAGCUAGUGACGAAUCCUACGGUCCGAUACAUGAUUCACUGUGAUUUGAUGAGGUAUUCCUCUCCUUUUUCAUUUUUUUAAACUCGGUUUUGGGUAUUUUUGGAUAUUGGAUGUUGAGUUUUGAUUUUCUUGCGUGAUGUUAUGCAUUAAUGUUGUUCGGUAAGUCCGAAUGAAUAUACUCCCUCCGUCCCAUAAUAACUGAGCCAUUUGCAAAAAAAUAUUGUCCUAGAAAAAUUGACCCAUUUCAAUUUUCAAUACAAUAUUAAUUACUUUUUUCCAAUUAUAACACUAAUUAAUACUACUUUCACCAUUCCUAAUUCAAUAUAUUCUACUAUGCAUUUAUGAUAAAAAAGAAUGCACCAAUAGUUGAUAAGGGCACUCAAACCCAUUUUUCUCUCUCUUUUGCGGAGGGAGUAUAUCCACAAAAAUAUUUAUGAUUCGACUAUUUUUAAAUUUUAGCAUUAUUGGAAAAGUGUCUAAAUGUGAAUUUUAUUUGAUAUUUAUGAUAUAGACGAGUAAAUGAGUUGAUUCAACCUAUUUGUUUUCAAAAAAUGUUGUCCCGACGAAAGCGCUGAACCGUGUAGGGGCAUUUUUGUAAUUUUUGAAUUGUUGAAAUAUGAAAAUGAGUUGAGAAAUGGAUUUGCGUCGAUGAGACAGUCGAAAUGGAUAUAUGGUUUGCGACGUUUUGAGUAGGGAUGAAUUUAUUGUGAUUUUUUGAAAGUAGUUUAAAUUUGAGCUACCGCUGGAAGUGACUGUUGACACUUUCAAAAUUCAAAUUUUAAAUGUUUGAAUUGGUGAGUUGUGAAAAUAUUUUUUUCUGUGAAUUUAUGUUAGGUUGGCCGAGUCAAAGGCUCUAGUAUACGAUGUAAACACAAAGGAGACUGUUGAAAAUUCGUCAGAAUCAUUUUCUUAGUUUUGGGGUGAUUUUGAAAAGAUGUUUCAAAACGGAAAACAAGUUGGGAUUCAUUUGGAAAUGAAAAAUAUUUUAUGAACAAUUUUGAUCUCUUUAAGGUCUUUUGAUAGACAUAAAGUAUUUGAGAAAAAUGUUUUCAUGGGUGAUUUUAAGGAGAAAAGUUAUUUUAUUUAGUGUCUUCGAAGUAUUUGAGAAUAUUUUUGAAACAAAAUAUUUUUAGCGGUUGAAAUUUGGAAAGAAAAGUCUUUUCAUAAAGAGUUUCCUUCAAUAUACUUUUGUUAACUUUAGGUCAUGAGAUGACUUAAAUAAUUUCAAGGAUUUUGAGAUGAAUGUCGUAUUGAAAAAUAUAUUAUUUAAGUUUUUGAAAAUAUUGAAUUGAUCGUAUUUUCAAGCGUUGUUGAUAUUUCACCAAGAACGGGUAGAGAGUUUUAGAGCCGAUUUUUACCUAAGUUAUUGUAUCUAUUAGGAUACAUAGCUCGAGGGUUUAGAGAUGUUCUUGUUGUAGAUGCUUACGAGUUGGAGAGCUGUAUGUUUUAAGGAAUGUGUUGCUCAGGUAAGGGCAUUUUCUAGAAACUCCAUAGUUACUUAAAUGCUUGGAUGAUUUAUGUGCUAAUUUGUCUAUUGUGAAUAUGAUAUUUUGAGUGAAUGUGUCUGCUCAGUGUGGGAUCUGUAUGCCAUCAAUGUGAUUAUGAUAAGUUGAUGUGCAUCGCUUUCAUAUGAUUUAUGAGUAAAUAUAUGAAAUGCAUGUUGUUUUGUGAAAUGUUGUUUCGUAUGAAUUGAAAUAAAAUAUGUAAACUGCCAGUUGAGGCAUGUUAAAAAUAUGGAACUUCCAGUUGAGGCAUGUUAUUAUCAAUGCAUAUAUUAAAUGAUAUGUAAGAGUUACAUUUGCACAUAUUGAGUGGACAAUAUAUGCUCAUAGCACGUGUACGCACAAAUUUUAUAGUACGCGUUAGUCAGUUGCGACGCGCGGGGUGUGGACUGCCGUGAAGGAACCCACUUUAAAUCUAUGAGAUUUAUUGAGUCUUGGUUGCUCGACCAUUGUGGGGGGUUUAUCUCAGAUGUGUCUGAAUGGGGACCACAUGAUUUGCUCGACCAUUGUGGGGGGUUUUCCUCAGAUGUAUCCAUAUGAUAAUCAUGAAUUUCUUAGUAGGUUUUGCCUAUGACCAUCUGCAGAGUGGAUUAUUUCGGAAUCAUUUGCUAGGCUAAUUGUACAUCAUUAUAUUUUGUGUGAGGAAUGUUUAUGUUGAUACAAUUUACCAUUCUAGUUUGCUAUGCCUGCUGUAUUUUUGUAAUUAUGUUGUAGCAGUUUGACAGUCAGGCUUGAUGUCAUUGGUGGGUUCUUGUACCCUGUCAUCUAGUUCAGAGUUAAAUAGGAUCAGCUUAGUUGUAUUCAUGUAGAGUCCUUUGUGUAAUUUUUUUUAUACAUUUGUUGGGCAUCGUUGUAAAUGAUAUUACCUUGAGAAAUGAAUAAACGACCCCGGGGGUAAAUGAUAUUACCUUGAGAAAUGAUAUUACCUUUAAUGGGCAUCGUUGUAAAUGAUAUUACCUUGAGAAAUGAUAUUACCUUGUAGAGUCAUUUGUUGUGUAAUUUUUUUAUACAUUUUUUUACUCAGUGUAUAGUUUGAAAUUGAAAACUCAUUGCCUAUAACUAUUUUAUAAAAUAUGGCAUUGGAUUCAUAUUGUAUUGUGAAAAACGCUGUCAAAAAUACACCGAAAAACCAAGCCCAAAUUGAAACAGCAAAGGGGUGCUGCAAGAAGAGGCGAGAAGUAAGAACACAAAUAGAGACAACCACACGACCCCGGGGGUCGAAGAUUCUCAUCCGUAUGUAAUUUAUGGUCUAAAGCGCGCCAAAAAGUAAAGGAGGAAGAGGGUGGAAUGUAGUUCCGCCAAAUCAUGUCAGCCGAAGGAACAACCGUAGAGGGCGGAUUAAGAAAAUUAAAAACAAGCUUAGCCACUAAUAAACCAUCCGGAUAAUGUUUCCAGACCAGCUGAUCGCCAAGAGGAAUAAUAGGCGAAGAGAUAGCCUUAAUUCUAGACUUAAUAUCCGGUUGACAAGCAAAUUCAGGAGGAAGAUGCCAACAACCAUCCUUGAUCAAAGAAUUCAAAGUAUCGGAAAAAUGCUUCUCGAGAUUGGGAGGAAUAUCCAUAAAAUCUAUCAAAGGAACCCCAAGCCAACUAUCGUGCCAAAGAUUUAUAAAAUUACCGGCGGCAAUCAGCCUUAAACAAUUAUCAAUAACAAAGCCAAUUUUGGUUUUAAUGCCAGCCCAAACUGAGGACGGUAAAUGACGCUAAAUUGGUUGGCCAAAAGAAAAAUAGAGUUUCAUAAACAUUGCAAACCAUUGAGACUUUUCAGCCAUAAGCUUCCAACUAAGGUGCAAAAAGAGAGAAUCAUUAAUAGAACGGGUAGAUUUCAAGUUCAAACCACUCGCUUCCCAGGGAAGACAAACAGUUUUCCAAGCAACCGUACAAACUUUCUUAGUAUUAACAUCACCGCUCCAGAUAAAUUUUUUAAUCCAACGAUCCAAAGACUUAUGCAACAUCACCGGCCAUUGAUAGGCAGCAUGUAUGAGGUCUCUCAACAACUUGUUGACAUUGUUACUCAUGAUUCAUAAUGAGGUUCAACAAGUCAAGGAGUUGAAGGCUAGACGAGGCAAUUCUAGUGACAAUAUUGUCACCUCCAUCAAAUAAGGAAGUGAAGGGAACCCAAGUUAGACUAGCGUUUCUACUCAACCUACUUUAGUAGGAUCUUUACGAGUUCAGCCGAUACCUGUAUUACAAAUAGCUUCUACUUAUAAUUCUCAACCUACUACUUUUUUUACACCGAUAACCCUAGGGGACACCCAAUGGCUAAUGAUACAUACUACCAUGCUAAUCUUCAAGUUGAACAAAUUACAUAUGACAAGGAGAUCAACAUGCUAAUCAUCAGGUUGAACAAGUACAUACUAAGGCGAAUAACAAAUUAGCAUGUUUGGGACAUGGCAAAUCAAAAUUAAAAACAUCUAUACACGAACGAUAGCUUAGUAAUAGGCUUAUAAAAAAUAUACACAUUAACUAUACUACGACACUUUCUCAAUAUAUAGAUUGUGGUAGUACUCAGUUUUGAAAUACAUCAAGGUUUCAUCACAUGACAACAGUUGCAGGACAUCAAGCUUGUAGAUGCAAUUAUGUUUCAACAAACACUCUUAAUUUCUUUCCUCCCAAUAGGAAGAAUCACUUUGGAUAGGAUAAAGGUCUGCAGCUGAUGAAGGUGAAGCAGUCCAUCCAUCACUUAAUAAACUCUGACUUUGUGUUUGUGACUUGCUCAUCGUUUUGUCUUCGAUCUGAUAGUAAUACUGUCUCAUUUCUUCCAUCUUAUUGCCAUCCAUUACUUUACUUGAAUCUGGCACAAAUUCUGGAACCACGGUUCUUCCUUCAAGCAUACUUACAACUGACGACAUAGAGGGCCUAAGGUUUGAAGUGACAUUGGUGCAUAGGAGAGCCACAUUGAUCAUCACCAUGGCUUCCUUUUUGUUUAAAUCUAAACCUAAUCUUCCAUCAACUAGCUCCAUUAGGUCACCUUUCUCUUUCAACAUAUGUGCCUGUUGAAACAAAGAAUUGUUUUGUGAACCCUAAGUAAUUUACAAAUGAGAGGUGAUAUUUUGAUACACAAAUUUGACAUCAAAAUUCGACAACAAUU
This 65466-nucleotide long non-coding RNA is filed under the name Medicago truncatula (barrel medic). Its description in RNAcentral is "long non-coding RNA (MTRU_LNC008698)". The stretch from base 21783 to 22059 matches the Rfam family "MIR2655 microRNA precursor family". Lineage: Eukaryota; Viridiplantae; Streptophyta; Magnoliopsida; Fabales; Fabaceae. The record is from RNAcentral.